This 56525-nucleotide long non-coding RNA is filed under the name Triticum aestivum (bread wheat). RNAcentral describes it as "long non-coding RNA (TAES_LNC007804)". Lineage: Eukaryota; Viridiplantae; Streptophyta; Magnoliopsida; Poales; Poaceae. The record is from RNAcentral.
UUUGAUGUUUUACAAACUGACUGAUAGUCGCAGUUUUAUUUUGCGUGCAUUAGGAGUUGUGAUGUUUGAUGCGCUUGGCAUGUAGUAGAAGAGCUGAUUAAACUUGUCCUUGAUGUGUACAACCUUGUGAUUUGCCGCUGACUUUGUUCACAUUACGGACUUCGGAGUGUUCAUUGCAAGUCUCUGUUCUGUUACUGCUGUAAUAGUAGCCCACCUGUGAAGGCAUUGUCUCCAACUGUCUUAGCGUUCGACUGCUUUAUUUUCAUGUUGAGAGAAUGGAGUUUAACUCGGAUGAUACUGCUUGCUGCAUAAUUGAUGUUCAUUUUCCAAACUGAAUUAGUGAGAUGGGUAUGAUUGCAAUUGAAUAAUUCUUGUUCUGUAUCAUGAGUUCAUAUCUAAAUAAACUGCGGCUUAUUAGUGCCACCGCAUUGCUGUCAACGUGCCAAGGAUGUUGCAAAAUUCCCCGCAUUUUUGUAAACUACUCCCUCUGUCCAAUAAUAUUAUCAGACGGAGGGAGUACCUAUUUGAACAUGGCAAGAAUAAUGAUAGUAUCGGAAGUUAAACUUAGUUUCAUUGCAUCCAUAGGCUGUGGAUGCUCUAAGGAGGCAUCAUCUUCUGUGCCAUCAGGCUGGUUGCAACCGCCUUUAACCAGGAAGCCUGUGUUUAAUUCUCUUUUCUUUACGGGCUGACUUCCUGAUCGAAGCAACAUCUUUCACCUCGCGGGGGAAAAGAUCUUGAAUCCAUAUGCCAUUCAUGGGAGAAGAACAAAGGAGGAUGUAGAUCAUACAGUGGCGGCCAAAGCGUUUCCUUUGGAUGAAGUGGUGUUCUCGGUGUUUGCUGUAUGCAUUGUAACAUAUGAUGUAUCCUGGGGAUAUAUAUAUAUAGAGAGAGAUCUAGAGAUGUAAUGGCCAUGUGUAGACCUAGCUGUAAAUUAUGCAGCCCUUAGGUACAAACCUGAGUGUCCUGGCUUGUUGUGCUCUCAACCACAUGUAGCCAUGAUACAACUGAUUUGUUUACGAGCAUUGGGAUGCCCUCGCAGAAGGAAAAAGUAAAACCCAAGAGUCAAGAAAAAAAGAAAAACUAAUGAUACUUCCUUAGAACCACACGACAAUCGUGGUUAGCCACUUAAACCUGAUAUCAACAAUAGAUGACGGUUCCAUAGAGCAUCUACAUCCCCUGGAGAUAAACCUCUAUAUAUCUCCUGUAGGAAAAUAAUACUAGCUCUACAUCACCCUUUUUAGUCUUCCCGACUCCAUUGAUAUCAUAUGAACCAACCUGUGGUUGGAUUGUUAGGAGAACAAUGGUAUCCACAGUCCACCAGAGUUGUCUUAAAGAAACAAAGUCCAUUGAUAUCAUUAUAAUAGUAAUAACCAAGUAACUAAAUUGAAGUAGUUAAGAAGAAAUUCAUAGAAUUUAUUCUCUUUGAGAGAAAGAAAGCUAGUUUAAGAUGAAAGGAAGCAAGGUAACUUUACGCGCCUUGAUUAGUACUACUAAACAUUGUUCAUGGCACGUUUUCCUGAUCUUGGCAUGCACUGCACAUAGCGUGAUCCUUUCCAUGCACUUGUUGAAACAGAAUUGCUUCUUUAGACAUCUUAUCUUUUACUCUUAUUUUGGGAAACCCUAGCCGCUGUCCCCUCUACCACACCUCCUCCCAUCCUCUCGUCUCGCAGCCGCCGGAGCUCGCUGGCGGGCAAAGCUCAGUCGGUGGCGGCGGGGCAUCCUCUUCUCUUCGUGCGGGGCCGGGCAGCGCGUGACACGUUCUUCGCGCGGGGGCGCGUCGCUACGCGAGGCACGGCGGUGCAGGCGGCUGAGCCUCGGUAUGGAGGGUUGCUUGGCAGUGGUGGUGGCGGCGGCUAGUGCGUGGUGGCGGUGGACCAGGCCAGAUCGGAUCUGGAGGGUUCCUGGCGGUGGGCGGCGCGUGGGUGGGCAGCGACUUAGUAGGGUCUCUUUGGCCAUGGCCACGAUAGCGUGCAGGCCGUUGUUGUAGGGGUUCCAUGGCUGCUGGUCAGAUCCGCCCAGAUCUGACCCUAGGCGCCGACAGGCGGCUCGGGGUGGUGGCCGCGGACUCCUGGUUGGAUGUGGCUGCUUGGAUGUGGGCUGCAACGGCGUGGUGGCAGUCCAUGGCAGUGGGUUGGGUCGUUCCAUGAUGGCGGCUGGACAUCUCCGGCGUCGGUCGUCGGGGAGCGGCUCUUGCGGUGGCGACCUUCUUCCUGCGUCGGCUCGUCCGUAGGCGGCCCGUGGAGGCCUUCGAUCCCUCUCCUUGUCGUCCUGGCGCUACUUUUGUCGAAGGGCUGACCCUCUCCCAGUUGCGAUCCAUCGCCCGUCUCGCGCCCAGUGCUGCAGCACCGAGCUCGUCUUUCGCCUAGCAGCAGGACCAAUCUCGUCUCGCGCCCGGCAGCAGGACUGGCAUCGUCUCGCGCCCGGUGCUGCAGGACGGGUCGAUGGAGGCCAGUUUUGGCCGGCCUAGUGGUCUCAGCGCCGGGGGUCGCACAGGGGUGUGAAAGGCGGAACCUUUUCGCUCGUCUCUUUGGCUGGGUUAGCGGCGGGCCUCAGGUGAGGUGGUGUCAAGGUCUUGGAUGCCAGGGCGGCGGCCCUGGUGGUGGUAGCAUGAUGCUCUUGGGCAGAGCCCGUGGCUUGGUGCUGCCCGGUGGCCAUGGCCGUGAGGGCGGUGUGGUAGCUGGGGUGUGGAGUUCGGUGGCGAUGAGUAUUGGCCGGCGUGAAAACCUGUUCUAUCUUUGGCUGGACCGGCGACGGCGAAGCUCGUUCCCUUCUUGAAGGUGUCGCCGUGGCUCUCAUUGCCCAUCGUGUUGCUCCAGGGGAAACUCUAAUCCUUGGUUAGGACGGUGGCGGCGCUUUGGUAUUGUAACCUUCCUGAAGGCACCGCCUUGGAGCCCACGGUUCGUCAUAUGUGGCUUCAUCUCUUCGCGGUGGUGUGUUCACGGUUGAGGACCCCGGUUGCUCAUGUAGUGCUAGGGGCGGUGUUGCUACGCUCAACGCCUAUAUAUGUAUCCUGCCUUGGGUGUGUGCAUGUGUUGUGGUGGCAUGCGUUUGUACUGGGUUGUUGUUGAUCGUUGCUGUAUAUAUAAAGCGGGGUGAAAGCCUUUUCAGUAAAUGACUAAUAUAACUAAGUAUAAACCCCCCCUAUUUGCAUCCAUAAACACUUACAUUUGAGUAAGGAUAGAGCAAUUAUGAUAUGGUGAGUACAACUUCCAAACUGCUGGUUCAGUUGUCCCACGGUCCAGCCGCACAGAGAAAACAAAGGUACUUUCAGCAAUGGUGGCAAGAACCGCGGGUGCCCGCGGCGGAGUGGCUACAAGCAACAGAGUGGCAGCGACUAGCGGGUUGGUAGUGGUUGACAAUGUGAUGGCUAGCGGAGGUGCAAAUGGAGGAGGUGGGGGCGGGUCCUGGGGCGGAGAUGACCAAUGGAGAUCUAGUACUCAGGGCAUCGUUUGCGGUUGUUCAACGCUGCAUAGACAAGCGAGGGAGUUGUUGGGCUCGCAUGCUACCUUAGUCAAACUCAAGCUAUAACCAAGCCAAGUUCAAGUGCGGACACAUAAGCUUAGACGGGCCUGGUGAAGCAGGUCCACGAGCGGGCUCGGCUUGGAUUCUUUCCAACCCAACCAACAACCUCAAGCGAGACAACCAACAUUUAGCUUUCUAUUUUCACAUGGUGGAUUAGUGACAAUAGCUACAUUUUCCCCUAUGCCUCUCAAUCCGGUUACCAAAUCCGUGCACCUCAGAUGGGUAACAUAUCUUGAAUCCGUAUGCCAUAGGAGAGGAACAAAGUAGGAUGUAGAUCAUACCGGGGUGACAGGGUGCUAAUUGUUGCAUGCAUUGCAAGAAAUGAUGUAUCAUGUGGAUAUAUAGAGAGAUGUAAUGGCCACGUGGGCCGACCUAGAUAGUAUGUAUCAUGAAAGUACAAACUUAAAUGUCCUGACUCAUACAGCUCUCAACCACCUGCAAACAAUGCUAUAAUUGUUCCAUUGACGAGCAUUGAGAUUCCCUCACCCCUCACCCCACCCACAUAGGCACACGGAACGGGACGAGAUGAAACACAUAGUGAGGUUCAUAACCAGGUUUUGCAAUCCAGGAUGACUAUGAGACUUCAACACAGACUAUAAAUUGUUUAACCAGCCAGGUACACAUCCCCCUCAUGCUCAAUUUUGUGCCACACCUCAUCCAGCUCCACAUCCUAAAAUGGCUGAAGUAGGGAUUACAAGGCCACCUGUUCCUACUACACAAAUUACCGACCCAAUGUUUCUAGUCAGCCACACCAUAUGUCUGGGAGAACCAACGAGCUUUUGCUGUCUAAGAUCAAGAGGCUAGUCGGUACUUGUCAGUGGCUCAGUGCCUACGCAAAUAAGAAUAGGACCUGACAUCGAGCCGCUAGCAAGAAAGCUAAUUUUCUUGGCAAAUCUAAGUGGUGAACCAGGCAACCAUGGGAGAAAUCUUGCACUGUGAAAACAAAUUCAUCAGCGAUUCCUUUAGGGCAGCCGUAUGAGAGAUUGACAUACACAUGCCAAUAAAUAUUCUUUGCCGGGCCAAUCCUGAGCACCACUGGCAUAAACGAAGAAAAUAAUGAGGUGGGCACAAGAGUGCGCCCUGAGGGAAACAGAGAUCCCAACUCCCACCAGAGGGACAUCCGUGGCAAGAAGGCUCGGACAAGCUCCUUCCCAUUGUUUGAGCCUAGGAAUUUCUAGAAGAACCAGUUUUGUUGGCAAGUGACUUUUACCUGCUGUUUUACUGUCUCUAUGUCGUCUGCUCAAGCCCCACCAUGACAGUGGGGGUGAAGAUAUGGAGAACUGCUGAAACAGUUGCUCCUUCGGGGCAACAAUGAUACAGAGACGACGAUGAUCUUUAGAUCUUUAUAGUGAGCGAGGAUGGUGCUAACUUUGUUUGAUGUUUACGAACUGACUAAUAACCGUCGUUUUUUUCUUUCGCAUGCGUUAGGAGUUCAGUUGUUUGGUGCGCUUAAUAGGUAGUAGAAGAGUUGAUUAAACUGUUCAUGGUGUGAAGAACCUUUUGAUUUGCAGCUGACUUUGUUCACAUUGCGGACUUUGGAGUGUUCAUUCUGUUACUGUGGUAAUCGUUACCCACGUGUGAAGGCAUCAUCUCCAACUGUCUUAGUGUUUGAUUGUUUCUCUUCCAGUUGUGUUUGAGGGAAUGAAUUAACCCAGGUGAUAUUGUUUGUUCUGUGCUGUUGUUCAUCUGUCAAACGUUUGUGAUUACAGUUGAGCAAGUAUUGUUUUGUAUCAUGAAUUCAUGACUAAUGUAGUAGCAGAAGUUAAACAUAGCUUCAUGCAUCCAUAGGUUAUGGAUACUACAAGGAAGCAUCAUCAGGUGCACGAGCAGCCUGUACAGUCCAACAUCUUGAUCGAAGCAACACCUUUCCCAAUACCUCGCAAUCCGGUUAUGCUUCACCUCAUGCGGUAAACAUAUCUUGAAUCCAUAUACCAUUGGAGAAGAACAAUGGAGGAUGUAGAUAAUACUUUUGGUGGCUAUGUCGUGGCCAGGCUGUUUGUGCUAUGCAUUGCAGGACAUGUUGUACCCUGGGGGAUAUAUAUAUAGAGAGAGCUAGGGAUUUGAUGGCCAUGUGUAGAGCUAACCAUAACUUAUGCAACCCGUAGGCACAAACCUGAAUGUCCUGGCUUGUAGAGCUCUCAAACACCACCAGCCAUGAUACAAUCGACUCACCAACGGGCAUUGAGACGCCCUCAUAAAAGGCAAAAUAAAAACCCGAGAGGCAACAAAAUCCGAAGAUACUUUGUUAGAACCGCACGACAAUCGUGGUUAGCAUCUCAAAACUGAUGUCAACAAUAGAUGACGGUUCCUUGGAGCAUCCGCAACCCUUGGGGCUAAACCUCUAUACGUCUCUCCAAUAGAAAAAACACAGACCUAUCUUACUCCAUUGAUAUCAUCAUCGUAGUAAUAACAAAGUAAUUGAGUUCAAGUGGUUCCUUAGAUAAGAAGAAAUUCACAUAAUUUAUCCUUGUUGAUGGAAAGAAAACUAGUUUAAGAUGAAAAGUAAGUGCUCGUGGAUGUGACCACAAUGAAGCAUGCCCCUUUGCAGUCAAUCUGUCGAAUCUUUCGUGCAUAUUUUCUGUCAAUGCCCGUCCUCUGUCGAAACAUGAUUUAAGCCUAGCCUAAUAUGCAUUGAUUAACAAAGGUGUUAUUAAAUGAUAUGAAUAAAUAAUAGUACUGAACUAAACCUUCACUUUUUUGCAUCCAUACAAAUUCCAUUUGAUUAACCAUGGAACAGUUAUUAUAUGAUGAGUACAAGUUCCAAACUAUCACACAAAACUUCAGAAUGCUUGAGCGCAUGAUACCCUGGAAUCAUGAAAUGAAGACCUGAAAGAAUUUAUAGGUUGUACUCCCUUCGUAAAGAAAUAUAAGAGCGUUUAGAUGAGUGCGGCUAAUCUGCACCCGGGCUCAUCUGCACCCCCGCUUAAAAAAAAUUCAAAAAAAAUACUAGAAAAAUUCAAAAAAUUCCAAUUUUUUGUGGUGGCAGAUAAUUUGACGCGUGAGGUGCGCACCAAAAUUCAACUCAUUUGAGCAUCUGAGCAGCUCUCGGCAAAAAAGACAAAAUCAGGGUCUGUAAAAAUGUUUACUGUUCAUGCACUGUUUUGACCCGAUUUGUCUUUUUUGCCGACAGCUGCUCAGAUGUCCAAAUAAGUUGAAUUUUGGUGCGCACCUCACGCGUCUAAUUAUCUACCACCACAAAAAAAAUUGGAAUUUUUUGAAUUUUUCUAGUAUUUUUUUUAAAUUUUUUGCUGAGAGGGAGCAGAUGAGCCCGGGCACCGUUUUGAGUUUUCCCGUUUAGAUCACUAAACUUUCUUAUAUUUCUUUAUAGAGGGAGUAGUUGAUAGACAAGUUAGAUAGGCCAUGAUGGAGUGGCGGUGACUGGCGGAUGGCACUGAGGUGGAAAGAGCGGCAGUGGCCGGCAGAGUGGAAACAACCAGUGGUGGAACACAUGGUUGGGUGGGGCCAACGACCACUCUAACAUGCAUGCAUUGAGUGCGGGGGUUUGUUUCAGAACAAGAGCUCGUGCGCCGGUGCAUGAGAAAAAAACUGAGCAUGGGAGGAAGUUUUGCUAGGCCCGCAGGCAGACCGAGUGAAACUCAAGCUUUGACCAAGUCGAAUCCAAGUCCAACUUUUAUGGCUUAGAUGAGCCUUGCAAAGCAGAGCCAUGAGCUAGCUCGGCUCGACUUGUUUUCAAACGCAAGGAGCAACCUCUAGCCAGACAAUCAGUGUUUAACUUUUCUUUUUCAUCGAAAAAGGCUUUCGCCCCACUUUAUAUAUAAAGAAAAUCGUCACAAGCACAACCGGCAUCCAAUAGGAUAGUAGCACAACACACAACACACACCACACACACACACACACACACACACACACACACACACACAAGUUCGCACAAGAAAAGUAUUCUGCUGAGGGCACCACCACAAGAAGCCCUAAGAAACAAAAGCGGUACAUGCCGCGAGGGCGCUCCGUAGAGCUAGUUCAGAUCUUCCCUUUUUCACACAGUGGAGUAUGGAUGGUAGCUACAUUUUUUCCAAUGACUCUCAAUCCAACUUCCAUUCAUCUCUUCAGGGAAAUAGAUCUUGAAUUCAUGUGGUGUUGGAGAAGAACAAAGAAGGAUNNNNNNNNNNNNNNNNNNNNNNNNNNNNNNNNNNNNNNNNNNNNNNNNNNNNNNNNNNNNNNNNNNNNNNNNNNNNNNNNNNNNNNNNNNNNNNNNNNNNNNNNNNNNNNNNNNNNNNNNNNNNNNNNNNNNNNNNNNNNNNNNNNNNNNNNNNNNNNNNNNNNNNNNNNNNNNNNNNNNNNNNNNNNNNNNNNNNNNNNNNNNNNNNNNNNNNNNNNNNNNNNNNNNNNNNNNNNNNNNNNNNNNNNNNNNNNNNNNNNNNNNNNNNNNNNNNNNNNNNNNNNNNNNNNNNNNNNNNNNNNNNNNNNNNNNNNNNNNNNNGGGAGGUGUAUAUAUAGAGAGAUCUGGGCAUGUAAUUGCCAUGUGAAGACCUAGCGAAAUAUUACCUCUGUCCCAAAUGACUUGCCUUAAAUUUGUUUAGGUACCGAUGUACCUAACACUAAAACAUGUUCAAAUAUUUUUUUUUCAAAAGUAGCACGUUUUUUAUAGCAAUUUUGAAAACUAGCGGUGCUAACACGUUAUUUGCCAAACUAGCACCCCGUCAGUCAGCCGUUGGCCGAAGAGUGACUCUUCAGUCAGGUGUUGGCCGAAGAGUGUGUUUUCGGUCUGGCGUUGGCCGAAGACCUGCGGUGUCUUCGGCCAGCAGAUGGCCGAAGAGUGCUUUUCUGUCAUUUGUUGGCCGAAGAGUUCAUACUCUUUACGUUAACACCUGACCGAAGUUCCAUGGGAUUACUCUUCGGCUUACACAAGAGAACGGAGAACAUGCACCAACGGACAACACCAACGCCACCCCCUCGGCGGCACGAAGCUGCACCUCCUCCUCACCAGCCAAACCGCCUCCUCCUCCUCACCCCAUCAUGACUCUAACUCACUUGUACGCACAAAUAACUAUUCCAUAGAAAAAAAAUGACCGUAGGCCGGUGGAGAUGGCUACGAUAUACCAUUUCUGUGGUUUGGAUUCAAAAAUAGGUGGAGAAACGAAGAGAUCAGGGGGUGGGGGGGACGUACAGAGAGGAACCAAAGAGAGAGAGAGAGAGCAAGAACAACGAGACGAAAAAAGAAACCAGCUCGGGCCUUAUCCAAAGGUCUUCGGCCACUCAUUAGCCGAAAAGGUUUUCGGCCACGGGCUGGCCGAAGAGGCCCGUCUUCGGCCCAGCUCACACACUUUUCGGCUUACGUGUAACCGAAGAGUCCUCUUCGGGCUUCGGCUGGUCAGAAAGGCCCUCAUCGGCCAACGGUUGACCGACGGGGUGCUAGUUUUGCAAAUAACGUGUUAACACUGCUAGUUUUCUAAAUUGCUAUAAUAAAUGUGCUACUUUUGAAAAAAAAAUUCAAAUACAUCACUAUUUAGAACAAUCUAAGACAAAUAAUUCGGGAAGGAGGGAGUAAUAUGUAGCCUGCAGGUACAAACUGGAAUGUCAUGGCUUGUACAUGUCUCAACCACCCGCAGCCAAUGAUACAAGUCCACACACACAUGCACACGCACACGCGCGCGCGCACACACACAUACAUACCACAUAGACACAUACACGCACGCACUCACUCACACACACACACACACACACACGCACGCACACACACACAGGAUGCAUCAUAAUGUGAGGAUGCUUCCUUGCGUGACAAAGGAGGUAAGUCAUCCUAAAACUGGUAUAAAAAUAUAGGAUGCCUCUUAACAUCCACUAUUGGUUGCUUCAUCAAACAUGAAAUGCAGUUUAUCCAAAUUGAAAAGGUACAAUUUAGAUAUACGAGACCAGAACACACUUCUUAACACUGAUAUCAAUAUAUUAUGAAGCCACCGCACAUGACACAAUUUAUUCAACAACUACCUCUAGCAAGGACACAAUUGAUUCGCUUACUUGCAUUAGGAUGCCCUCACAUAAAGAAAAAUAAAAAAUGGAGAGGCAACAAAAACUGAGGACAUUUCCUUAGAAUUGCACAACAAAGCUCGGUUGGCAAUCUCAAAACUGAUCUCAACAAAAGAUUACGGUUCCUUAGAGCAUUAAUUCACAAUCCUUGGAGCUGAACCUCUAUAUAUCUGUCAUGUUAAAAGACGUAUCUCCUAAACACCGUUUUAGUCUUCUUUAACCCCACCAAUAUCACCAUUGUACCAAUAACUGAGUAAAUAAAUUUAAGAUUUUUUGGUUAAGAAGAAAUUCAUAGGAUUUAUCCUUGUUGAGAGAAAGAAAGCUAUAGUUUUAAGAUGAAAAAGAAGUCAGGUAAAUUUAUGCGCUUUGAUUACUACUAAACAUUCUUCAUGGCAUUUUCCCCUGAUCAGCUUGGUAUGCUGCAAAUCGCGAUCCUUUGCAUGCACUUGCUGAAACAAAUUGCUGCACUAGUCAUCUCUUUCUUUACUUGCUAUCAUUUCACCGCGUACUUCAUAGUAGCUAAGGAUACGUGAGCUCACAAGGUGUGAAAUAAGAAUAAGACCAAUCGAGACUUCAAAUGGGACAAUUUGAGCUGUAGAUCAUAAUGCCCAUUUGAAGGUAAAUCUCAACCAUAGAUGACUACUAGCACUAAACAUAAACCUUUCCUUCUUUGCAUUCACAAAUUUUUCAGUUGAGUACGUAUUGAGCAAUUAUGAUAUGGCGAGUACAACUUUCAAACUACUGGUUCAGUUGUUCAUGCGGCUCCGUCGUGUAGAGAAUGCAGAGGACGGUCAGCAAUGCUGGCAAGAACAACGAGUGACCGAGGUGGAGUAGCUACGUGCGAGGGAAUGGCUCCCAUUGGAGGAUUGACUGUGGUUAACGGAGUGGUGCUGGCUGGCCAAGGAGCAGACGGACGGGGUGGGAGCCGGCUGUGGAGUGGAGAUGCCUGACAGGGCUCUAGGAUUUCGUGCAUUGCAUGCUGGGGUCGGGAUCAGGAGAAGAGCAGAUACACGGGUACAGUGACAAGCAGCGGGAGUCGUUGGGCUUGCGUGCAGCUCUCGCCGAACUCAAGCUUUGACAUGGCCGAGUUCAAGCUUAGUUUUGUGAGUUUUGACGAGCCUGGACGAGGCAAGUCAUGACCCCGCUCGACAUGGCUUGUUUCCACCCCAUAAGCUAGAGAGACAUCAUUUAGCUUUCUUGUCACCGAGAGGGUUGUUGAUGGAUGCUACAUUUUUCCCAAUACCUUACAAUCCAAUUACAAUUUACCACAACCGGGUAAUAUAUCUAUGAAUCCAUAUACAUAGAAGAAGAACAAAGGAGGAUGUAGAUCAUAUUGUGGUGGCCUGCAUGCUAAUUCCUGCACACAUUGCAAGAGAUGAUGUAUCUUGGGGAAUACAUAUAUAGAGUUGGGCAUGUAAUGGCCAUGUGCUAGCUAAAAAUCAUGUAUUCAGCAGGUACACACAUAAUGUCCUGACUUGUAGAGCUCUUAAAACCAUCGUCAGCCAAUAAUGAUAGAAUCAGUUCGUUAUGAGCAUUGGAGUGCCCUCAUAAAGAAAAAAACUCUUUAGAUGCAGGACACAUGGAGGAGGAUGCUUCUUUACAUCUGCACAAUAGUAUGGUUAGGCCAACCCCAAUGCGGAUCACCAAAACAGACAUUACCAAAUCUCUGCGGGCAGACGCCGUUUAACCGGAGUCACCAAAUAUCUGGUCAAAUCCGAACAGAUAUUUAACAAAAGCCGAUGAAAUUCAUACAACCAGUAGGACAAAAAUUAACAAAGUUUGAAUUAACCGGAAAAAAAAAAUCAAAACUACACUCGAGAUACAGGACGAUGACCUUGUACGCAUGGUCCCUGAGACAGCCGACACCAUAGUCCUUGUCUGCGCCGUCGCCACUGCCGUCAGAGCCGUCAUAUUCAACGUGCUUUCAGUCCACAGGAACAUUGGCAAGCAUCGCGACAACCCUCAUUGGUUACUGCUGCACAAUUGCGGUCCAGUAAGUUGGCCUCCUUCGCCUAGGCAGCGCCUUGGCCGCCUCGGUGGGGAGCCGGAUCCCCUGACGUACGGCCACCUGACGUUGGGCCACUGACGCGUGGAUCCGGGUCCACACGUCAGCGAGUGCGCCGUACGUCAGAGGAGCUGCGUCCCCUCGGUGGUGCCGACACAACCGUGGACUCAGUCGCGCGCAGCACACAUUUGAGCCGGUCCAAGCACUCGGACUCGGCCAACCCCACUUUGAGGAGCUGGUCGCUGAUCUGGCACCCGCCACAAGUGGUGGUCUGCGCGGUGUUCCUGGACCGGUCAAUGCCUAGGCCUUCGCGACUGCACACCUCGCGAACGACACCCGAUGGUAUGCGUUUCAUCACUACUAGAGCGCCGCCUCACAGGCCACCAUGGAGGACACCAUCAUUCUUGAAGACGAGCUGUUGCCACCGAGGUAGUAGGCGAGGUGUCUGCGCUGUAAAAAUUAUUGAAUGAUUGUGUUGUUAUGUGUUGUUGUAUUGAUCUAACACUCGUAGGGGUAUAUAUAAAGUACAACAUGCGAUGAGACUUGGAGUACAAGACAAGUCAUAGUAUAUUAAAACUAAUUCUAUCUCCAUCUCUCCUUAUCUCUAACUGAACACGUUUAUAUUAUUACAUUCCCCCUCACUCGUAGCGGGUCGCCGGAGUGAAGCGGACAAGUACGACUGAAUUUGAAGUCUUGUGCUUCCGUCGUCUUCUCCGCUGCGCCAUCAUCAAUUGCGUCUCUGAUGGGUCGGCACCUAGGGCGGUGACUGCGUCCCCUUCUCGUGCUUCCUUGUCUCUUCCCUCUUCCCUGUCGUAGUCACAGCAGGAGUGACGUGAACGCUGAUGACGACGCGGAAGCUGUUGACUGGAGUUGUUGCCGAUAUGUUGCUGUAGACGUAGCCAUUAAUGUCAAUAUCGAGGUAGCCGAUCAUGGUGAUGUAGCCGUGGUCGAGGUAGUCGUGGUCGAUGGUGUGGUCGUCGUGGAUGAUGAAGCCGCAUAGAGCCUGAAGGCGCAAAAAAUGCGCUAUGACGGAGCUGCAGACGUGGACGAUGCACCUUGCGGAUGUGAGAGGGUGCCAUCGGUGACAAGUUGCCGGUUUUGCCAAGACCAGAGGAAGCCCAUCAAGAACACAUCGGUUUUGCUAGAACCGUGUGGCCAUGUAGGGUCGUCACUGUAGUGACGCCGUGUCGAUGCAGUCGUGCUGUCGUGGAUGACGCCAUCGAUGCUGUCGUCGUUGUCGCGUCUUGCAGAAAAGUCUGUCAGAGGACACUAGGUGUCCAUCUUGUGUACAAGGCAGCGGCGGUGCGUUGACGAAAAUGUUGGUGAAGACCAUGUUGAUGAAGAGCUUGGCGAUGAUGUUGCAGCGGCGUGUCGACGAUAAUGUGUCGCUUGAAGGCGUCCCUCGCGGCGACCAAGUGUCAAUGCCGUGUCGCGCCAGAAAAGUCAAUGAAGAUUGCAUCUCGUUCCACACCGGCCUGACGUGUGGAUGGUGCAUGUUGAGAUCGCUUCUCGUAGACAUACUCGUCGAAGUAUAUUGGCUUGUAGUCUGGCGUAGUGUAUAGCUUGAUGAUGCGGCGUGGGUCGGCGGAUGGUGCGUCGUUCAGUCGCGUGGCCGCCCUCCCGGUCGAUGCCUCGUAUAUGCGCAAAUGGAUGUGUAGCUGGCGGUUGUCGAUGGCUGCACGUGUCGGAGUCCAUGUAUCGCUGCAUGCAUCUCCUCGCAUGGCUGGAUGGGCCUUUGACAAUGGAGGCUGCUGGGGCGGCUUGGGCGGCACCGUAAGCCAGCCGCCGCCCGCUCCCCUCCCUCCAUCUCUUUCCCUCGCCGUCACCUGAGGAGUCCGGCGAGAAAUCUCACUGCGCUUUCGAGGAGGGUGGCAACCAGGCGUUCUCUCUCCAGCCCAGGCGAGUGGUGCGGGAAGCCAACGCGUGGAGUGCUCAUGGCGGCUGGUGUCAAGGCUCUUGUAGAUCCGGCUCGCUGGUGGUCGGGGAUGCAACGUAUGAUGGCGGAUCCGGUGAGCAGUAGGUGCUCCGUUGGUGUAGUGCAGUCGUUGGGCGUCGACGUGGCUUCGGUCGUGGACGUCGGUCCCCAGCCCGGGGGAUCUGGAUCUGGCCGGUCUGCCCCCCUAUCUGCGGGCUGGUGGCCUAGAAGGAGUGCUGCUGGCGGUCGGUGGUGCCCGGUUGGCGCGAGCAAGUAGGCUCUGGCCGUGGUGGAUGCGUGGGGUGCAGGGCCGAUCUGGCUUGUGCAAGCCCGACGUCGCGGGGGCUCAGCGGGCCCGUGUUUGCCGGCGGUGAGGAAGAUGGUGGUCCUGGGCAGUGUUGGCGUGCUCGCUGCGUUGGGGUGCGCGGCCAGCGGAGGUACUUGUCGGCCUUGGCUGGCUGCGUGGGAGUGGUUGCUCCGGGCGAAAGCUUGGCCGGUGCUCGCCGGUCGGCGACGACGGCGCCCGUGGGCGUCGUUAUCCUCCUUGGAGGCAUCGUUGGGAUCUGCAUCCUCUACUCCCGGGUCAGGAUCUUCGGGUGAAACCCAAGAUCCUGCUAUAGGAUCGGGCGGUGGCGUCGUCUUCAAUGUCGUUUUCCCCUCUUUAGAACGCCGUCUUGAAGAUCCUGGUCCCAUUGGUGCCUCCUACGGGCUGGCCGUGCACGGCAUUGUGGCUAUCCGUUUGUCAAUGAGGGUGGUUGGACUUCUAUGGCAACGAUGACGGUGGUGAGCAUGGUCGGGGGCAUGGCAUUGGUCGUGGUAGUUGGCUCUUCUCCGACGUGUCCGUUGGAUGGCCUUAGCUGCUUGUUGCUGUGAAGUCGAAGCCGCGGUGCAGGGCGGUGCGGGGCCCUGGUGGCGUACGACAGGUGCUCCGUUUGGCGAUUCUUCGCGACGCCAACCUUGCCUAGUUCUCCGUAGUUCUUCGUUGGAGUCGAAGCUACGUUGUCUUGUUGUGGGUGGAUGGUGAUCCACAACGUGAGUAUAGUGUUGUUCUGCAGCCAAUAGGUUGUCGUUUUUUUUUCUUUUUUUUUGAUCUUUGGAUCCUCUUCAUGUUGUUUUUCCGUUGCUUUCUGCUAAAUCUAAUCGAAGCCAGCAAUUUGCUGGAUCUUAAAAAAAAAGAUAAUGGAGGCUGCUGGUGGCUGUUUGAGGAGCCGGUGGCCGCUCUGGAUCACGCUUGCGCGAUUCCUGCCGUGCGUGCUCGUGGCCGGCCCUCCUGUGUGGCCUCGGCUGGUGGACGCGAGGAGGUGGUCGUCGUUGCCCUUGAUCUCUCAGCCUGUGCAAAGCUAGCUAGCCUGAGGCUUGAUCCAUCACUGGCCAAAUUACCAAGCUAGCUCACGAUGCGAGGAUGCCGCGGCCGGCGCGGCCUUCCGGAUCGAAGGUGUCGUGUGCCUGGUGUCGAGGGAGCCGCCCAAAGCCACGAGAUGUGUAGCUUGAUGCCGCAGGUGAUCGCCGCCGCGUACGUCGAUAGGUGUUGUACGAUUGGCCGCCGGUAUAAGCACCAAUUUUUGCUGGAAUUUGAGGGCAGCAGGAUUUUAUUUGGUGGCUAAUUGAAUUAAUCUAGUGGAUGGAUUUUGGAAAACUCGAAAUUGGAAACCUAUGAAAAUCUAAUUGGAUCUAAUCUAUCUAAUGAACCGGUCUAUCUUUGAUGGUCGGAAGCCACGCCCUCGGGGAGAGGAGAUUAAUCUACCCGGAGGCGACACACUGCGGAAGUGGUGGAAGGUCCUAGGAUCAGCGUCGUUGGACAAACUGCUCUAAUAUCAUGUAGAAAUUGUAGGAUGGUUGUGUUGUUAUGUGUAGCUGUAUUGAUCUGACACUCGUAGGGGUAUAUAAAAAGUACAACAUGUGGUGAAACUUGGAGCACAAGACAAGUCAUAGUAUAUUAAAACUAAUUCUAUCUCCAUCUCUCCUUAUCUCUAACUAAAUAUGGUACCUGAGCCAAGAGUUUCAAUAAACGAUUCUGCGGUCUACAUCAAUCCCACGUCUAAGGACUAAAAUAGACUAGACGUGAUGGGUGGUGUUGAAGUGUAAUGUCCGGUCCUCUUUCAUAGUUCGGACUGAUGGUGAACUGGUUAAUUGCAUAAACUUACAACCAAGAGGUUCAGGGUUCAAAACCCAGUAAAAGCAAUAAAUAAUUGUGGCCUGCCCCCGCUUGCGCUGCCUUCGUCGUAUAGCCAGUAGCUCCCGGAGUGACAACUGCGUACACCUCCAAGAAUAUUUAUUUAUCAGGUAAGAUGCCUGUGUAAAUUGCAAGAUUUUUGAAAGUUUAAUCAUGACUCUCAGUUGGAAAAAAUAUUUAUAUUGUUGGAGACAAUUGUAAGACUACUGAAUUUAGUUGUGCUGAAACUUUCAACCAAGAUGAAAUGAUUCCACAUUUGGACCCUGGGAUGGUUUCUUCAACCGUUGAUCCUGAUGCUGCUGGAUACGCUGAAAGAGCAAACAAAGCCAAGAAGCCAGUCAAGAUUAGUGCCCGAAGCCUUGCAAAGCCGGAAAGAAACGAGGUGAUGAAAGCUGCAGCAAAAGCUCGGGCAUCAUCCUCUAUUCUCCGACCAAUAGAUGCCCGCCAUGGCAAUGAAGCUGAUAUUAGCUCCAGUGGCAAUGCCAAUGUCAGGAGUAGCAUGAGUGUUGACUACAGUGCUACAAAGGAAUCGAGGAGUGAGAUGCUGCUGUUCCCUCUACGGAACUUGUAUCCGCAGAGUCUUGCCAGUUACGAUGACUAUGAGACUGGCACACAGACUGCAAACAGUUUAAACAGCCCGGUCCACAUCCACAAGUUUGCCCCUCAUGCUCAAUUUCGUGUAGCACCUCAUCCAGCUCCACCUCCUAAAAGGCCUGCGCUAGGGAUUACAAGGCCACAUGUUCCUGCCACACAUAUAAGUAACAACCCAAUGUUCCAGUCAGCCACAUCAUAUGUCAGGGAGAACCGAAGAGCCUCUGUUGUCUGGGAUCAAGAGGCUGGUCGGUACGUGUCAGUGCCCAUGCAAACAACAAGAACAGGGCCCGGUGUUGAGCUGCCUGCAAGAAACCCAAGUUUCUUGGUGAAUCCAAGUGGUGAACCAGGCAACCAUGGGAGAAAUCUUGCACCUGCCAACACAACUUCAUCAGCGAUUCCUUCGGGGCAGCUGUCCGAGAGGUUGACGUACACAGGCCAAUCAAUAUUCUUUGGCGGGCCAAUCCUGAGCACCACUGGCAUAAAUGAAGAAAGGAAUGAGGCGGGCACAAGAGUGCGUCCUGAGACAAGCAGAGAUCCCAACUCCCACCAGCGUGACAUCCGUGGUGAGAAGGCUCGGACAGGCUCCUUCCCGUUGUAUGAGCCUAGGAAUUUCUAGAAGAACCUGCUUUGAUGGCAAGUGACCUUGACUGGCUGUUUUACUCUUCUAUACUAUGUCGUCUGCUCAAGUGCCACCACCACGACAGUGGGGGUGAUGUUGAUGCACUGCACCCCAUGCAGAGUCAGGGAACUGCUAAAAUAGUUGACCCGGGACACAUAGAUAACGAUGCUUCUUAGAGCUUUAUUAUAGUGAGCGAGGAUGGCGCUAACUUUGUUUGAUGUUUUACAAACUGACUGAUAGUCGCAGUUUUAUUUUGCGUGUAUUAGGAGUUGAGAUGUUUGAUGCGCUUGGCAUGUAGUAGAAGAGCUGAUUAAACUUGUCCUUGAUGUGUAGAACCUUGUGAUUUGCCGCUGACUUUGUUCACAUUACGGACUUCGGAGUGUUCAUUGCAAGUCUCUGUUCUAUUACUGCUGUAAUAGUAGCCCACGUGUGAAGGCAUUGUCUCCAACUAUCUUGGCGUUUGACUGCUUUAUUUUCGUGUUGAGAGAAUGGAAUUUGACCGGAUGAUACUGCUUGCUGCAUAAUUGAUGUUCAUUUUCCAAACUAAAUUAGUGAGAUGGGUAUGAUUGCAAUUGAAUAAUUCUUGUUCUGUAUCAUGAGUUCAUAUCUAAAUAAACUGCGGCUUAUUAGUGCCACUGCAUUGCUGUCAACGUGCCAAGGAUGUUGCAAAAUUCCCCGCGUUUAUGUAAACUACUCCCUCUGUCCAAUAAUAUUAUCAGACAGAGGGAGUACCUAUUUGAACAUGGCAAGAAUAAUGAUAGUACCGGAAGUUAAACUUAGUUUCAUUGCAUCCAUAGGUUGUGGAUGCUCUAUGGAAGCAUCACUUCUGCGCCAUCAGGCUCAUUGCCACAACCUUUAGUUAGGAAUCCUGUGUUUAAUUCUCUUUUCUUUACGGGCUGACUUCUUGAUCGAAGCAACAUCUUUCUCAAUACCACACAAUCAGAUUACCAUUCACCUCGCGCGGGAAACAGAUCUUGAAUCCAUAUGCCAUGGGAGAAGAACAAAGGAGGAUGUAGAUCAUACAAUGGCGGCCAGAGUGUUAUUUUUUGUUUUGUUUUUGGAUGAAGUGGUGUUCUGGGUGUUUGCUGUAUGCAUUGCAACAUAUGAUGUAUCCUGGGGAUAUAUAUAGAGAGAUCUAGGGUUGUAAUGACUGUUGGAAAUAUGCCCUAGAGGCAAUAAUAAAAGGAUUAUUAUUAUAUUUCCUUGUUCAUGAUAAUUGUCUUUAUUCAUGCUAUAGUUGUAUUAUCCGGAAAUCGUAAUACACGUGUGAAUACAUAGACCACAAUAUGUCCCUAGUAAGCCUCUAGUUGACUAGCUCGUUGAUCAACAGAUAGUCAUGGUUUCCUGACUAUGGACAUUGGAUGUCAUUGAUAACGGGAUCACAUCAUUAGGAGAAUGAUGUGAUGGACAAGACCCAAUCCUAAGCAUAGCACAAGACCGUGUAGUUCGUUUUGCUAGAGCUUUUCCAGUGUCAAGUAUCUUUUCCUUAGACCAUGAGAUCCUGUAACUCCCGGAUACCGUAGGAGUGCUUUGGGUGUACCAAACGUCACAACGUAACUGGGUGACUAUAAAGGUGCACUACAGGUAUCUUCGAAAGUGUCUGUUGGGUUGAAACGGAUCGAGAUUGGGAUUUGUCACUCCGUAUGACGGAACAAGGUAUUGGGAUACCAACGGUCGAAUCUUGGGCAAGUAACGUACCGAUUGACAAAGGGAAUUGUAUACGGGGUUGCUGAAAUCCUCAACAUCAUGGUUCAUCCGAUGAGAUCAUCGAGGAGCAUGUGGGAGACAACAUGGGUAUCCAGAUCCGCUGUUGGUUAUUGACCGGAGAGCCGCCUCGGUCAUGUCUGCGUGUCUCCCGAACCCGUAGGGUCUACACACUUAAGGUUCGAUGACGCUAGGGUUGUAUGAAUAUGAGUAUGCAGUAAACCGAAAGUUGUUCGGGGUCCCGGAUGAGAUCCCAGACGUCACGAGGAGUUUCGGAAUGGUCCGGAGGUAAAGAAUUAUAUAUGGGAAGUCGAGUUUCGGCCAUCGGGAAAGUUUCGGGGUCCACCAGUAUUGUACCGGGACCACCGGAAGGGUCCCGGGGGUCCACCGGGUGGGUCCACCUAUCCCGGAGGGCCCCGUGGGCUGAAGUGGGGAGGGUACCAGCCCCUGGUGGGCUGGUGCGCUCCCCUGGGCCCCCCUCUGGUGGUUCAUCCGAUGAGAUCAUCGAGGAGCAUGUGGGAGCCAACAUGGGUAUCCAUAUCCCGCUGUUGGUUAUUGACCGGAGAGCCGUCUCGGUCAUGUCUGCGUGUCUCUCGAACCCGUAGGGUCUACACACUUAAGGUUCGGUGACGCUAGGGUUGUAUGAAUAUGAGUAUGCAGUAAACCGAAAGUUGUUCGGGGUCCCGGAUGAGAUCCCAGACGUCACGAGGAGUUCCAGAAUGGUCCGGAGGUAAAGAAUUAUAUAUGGGAAGUCGAGUCUCGGCCAUUGGGAAAGUUUUGGGGUCCACCGGUAUUGUACCGGGACCACCGGAAGGGUCCCGGGGGUCCACCGGGUGGGGCCAUCUAUCCCGGAGGGCCCCGUGGGCUGAUGUGGGGAGGGGACCAGCCCCUGGUGGGCUGGUGCACCCCUCCUGCCCCCCCUCUGUGCCUAGGGUUGGGAACCCUAGGGGAGGGGGCGCCUCCACUUGCCUUGGGGGGCACUCCACCCCCUUGGCCGCCGCCCCCCUAGAGAUCCCAUCUCUAGGGCCGGCACCCCCCUGGGGGUCCCUAUAUAAAGAGGGGGGGGGGAGGGAGGGCAGCCGCACCUGAAGUCUUGGCGCCUCCCUCUCCCCUUGCUACACCUCCUCCUCCCGUAAUCGCUUGGCGAAGCCCUGCCGGAACCCUACUGCAUCCACCACCACGCCGUCGUGCUGCUGGAUCUUCAUCAACCUCUCCUUCCCUCUUGCUGGAUCAAAAAGGAGGAGACAUCAUCCGCUCCGUACGUGUGUUGAACGCGGAGGUGCUGUCCGUUCGGCACUUGGUCAUCGGUGAUUUGGAUCACGACGAGUACGACUCCCUCAACCCCAUUCUCUUGAACGCUUCCGCUCGCGAUCUACAAAGGUAUGUAGAUGCACUUCUAUCACUCAUUGCUAGAUGAACUCCUAGAUGGAUCUUGGUGAAACCGUAGAUUUUUUUUAUUUUCUGCAACGUUCCCCAACAGUGGUAUCAAAGCCAGGUUUAUGCGUAGUUCUCUAUUACAUGAGUAGAACACAAAUCUGUUGUGGGCGUAGAUCUUGUCAACUUGCUUGCCGCAACUAGUCUUAUUUUGCUUCAGCGGUAUUGUGGGAUGAAGCAUCCCGGACCGACCUUACACGUACGCUUACGUGAGACAGGUUCCACCGAUUGACAUGCCCUAGUUGCAUAAGGUGGCUAGCGGGUGUAUGUCUCUCCCACUUUAGUUGGAGCGGAUUCGAUGAAAAGGGUCCUUAUGAAGGGUAAAUAGAAGUUGACAAAAUCACGUUGUGGUUAUUCGUAGGUAAGAAAAUGUUCUUGCUAGAACCCAAUUGCAGCCACGUAAAAGAUGCAACAACAAUUAGAGGACGUCUAACUUGUUUUUGCAGCAAUUGCCUUGUGAUGUGAUAUGGCCAACAGUUGUGAUGAAUGAUGAAUGAUAUAUUGUGAUGUAUGAGAUCAUGUUCUUGUAAUAGGAAUCACGACUUGCAUGUCGAUGAGUAUGACAACCGGCAGGAGCCAUAGGAGUUGUCUUAAUUAUUGUAUGACCUGCGUGUCAAUGAUUUAACGCCAUGUAAUUACUUUACUUUAUUGCUAAACCGUUAGCCAUAGUAGUAGAAGUAAUAGUUGGCGAGCAACUUCAUGGAGGCACGAUGAUGGAGAUCAUGAUGAUGGAGAUCAUGGUGUCAUGCCGGUGACGAAGAUGAUCAUGGAGCCCCGAAGAUGGAGAUCAAAGGAGCUAUAUGAUAUUGGCCAUAUCAUGUCACUACUAUAUAAUUGCAUGUGAUGUUUAUUAUGUUUAUGCAUCUUGUUUACUUAGAACGAUGGUAGUAAAUAAGAUGAUCCCUUAUAACAAUUUCAAGAAAGUGUUCUCCCCUAACUGUGUGCCGUUGCUAAAGUUCGUCGUUUGAAGCACCACGUGAUGAUCGGGUGUGAUAGAUUCUUACGUUCACAUACAACGAGUGUAAGACAGUUUUACACAUGCAAAAACACUUAGGGUUAACUUGACGAGCCUAGCAUGUACAGACAUGGCCUCGGAACACAGGGACCGAAAGGUCGCACAUGAGUCGUAUGACGAUCAACAUGGAGAUGUUCACCGAUGAUGACUAGUCCGUCUGACGUGAUGAUCGGACACGGCCUAGUCGACUCGGAUCGUGUAACACUUAGAUGACUAGAGGGAUGUCUAAGCUGAGUGGGAGUUCAUUAAAAUAAUUUGAUUAGAUGAACUUAAUUAUCAUGAACUUAGUAUAAAAUCUUUGCAAAAUAUGUCUUGUACUCCCUCCGUCCAUGAAUAAGUGUACAUCUAGCUUUUGUCUUAAGUCAAAGUUUUAAAACUUUGACCACCUUUCUAGGAAAAAAUAAAAGCAUUUAUGACACCAAGUUAGUAUCACUAGAUUCAUUUUGAAAUGUACUUUGAUAAUCUAUCAAUUUGAUGUCAUAUAUGUUACUAUUAUUUUCUAUAAAGUUGGUCAAAAUUUUAAAAUUUUGACUUAGAACAAAAGCUAGAUGUACACUUAUUCGCGGACGGAGGGAGUAGAUCAAAUGGCCAACGCUCAUGUCAACAUGAACUUCAAUACGUUCCUAGAGAAAACCAAGCUGAAAGAUGAUGGUAGCAACUAUACGGACUGGGUCCGGAACCUGAGGAUCAUCCUCAUAGCUGCCAAGAAAGCAUAUGUCCUAGAAGGACCACUAGGUGAAGCACCCAUCCCAGAGAACCAAAACGUUAUGAAUGCUUGGCAGUCACGUGCUGAUGAUUGCUCCCUCGUUCAGUGUGACUUGCUUUACAGCUUAGAACCGGGGCUCCAAAAGCGUUUUGAGCACCACGGAGCAUAUGAGAUGUUUGAGGAGCUGAAAAUGGUUUUCCAAGCUCAUGCCCGGGUCGAGAGAUAUGAAGUCUCCGACAAGUUCUAUAGUUGUAAGAUGGAGGAAAAUAGUUCUGUCAGUGAGCACAUACUCAAAAUGUCUGGGUUGCACAAUCGCCUGUCCCAGGUGGACAUUAACCUCCCGAACGAGGCGGUCAUUGGCAGAAUCCUUCAGUCGCUCCCGCCGAGCUACAAGAGCUUUGUGAUGAACUACAAUAUGCAGGGGAUGGUGAAAACUAUUCCUAAAGUAUUUUCAAUGCUGAAGUCGGCAGAGGUAGAAAUCAAGAAAGAACAUCAAGUGUUGAUGGUCAAUAAAACCACCAAGUUUAAGAAGGGCAAGGGUAAGAAGAACUUCAAGAAGGACGGCAAAGAUGUUGCCGCACCCGGUAAGCCAGUUGCCGGGAAGAAGUCAAAGAAUGGACCCAAGCCCGAGACUAAGUGCUUUUAUUGCAAAGGGAAGGGUCACUGGAAGCGGAACUGCCUCAAAUACUUAGCGGACAAGAAGGCCGGCAACACUAAAGGUAUAUGUGAUAUACAUGUAAUUGAUGUGUACCUUACUAGUAAUCGUAGUAACUCCUGGGUAUUUGAUACCGGUGUCGUUGCUCAUAUUUGUAACUCACAGCAGGAGCUGCAGAAUAAGCGGAGACUGGCGAAGGACGAGGUGACGAUGCGCGUCGGGAAUGGUUCCAAGGUCGAUGUGAUCGCCGUCAGCACGCUACCUCUACAUUUACCUACGGGAUUAGUUUUAAACCUUAAUAAUUGUUAUUUAGUGCCAAGUUUGAGCAUGAACAUUGUAUCUGGAUCUUGUUUAAUACGAGAUGGCUACUCAUUUAAAUCCGAGAAUAAUGGUUGUUCUAUUUAUAUGAGAGAUAUGUUUUAUGGUCAUGCCCCGAUGGUCAAUGGUUUAUUCUUAAUGAAUCUCGAACGUAGUGUUACACAUAUUCAUAGUGUGAAUAUCAAAAGAUGUAAAGUUCAUAUUCAUAGUGUGAAUACCAAAAGAUGUAAAGUUAAUAACGAUAGUCCCACAUACUUGUGGCACUGCCGCCUUGGUCACAUUGGUGUCAAGCGCAUGAAGAAGCUCCAUGCUGAUGGACUUUUAGAGUCUCUCGAUUAUGAAUCAUUUGACACAUGCGAACCAUGCCUCAUGGGCAAAAUGACCAAGACUCCGUUCUCCGGAACAAUGGAGCGAGCAACCAACUUAUUGGAAAUCAUACAUACCGAUGUGUGCGGUCCAAUGAGCAUUGAGGCUCGUGGAGGAUAUCGUUAUGUUCUCACUCUCACUGAUGACUUGAGUAGAUAUGGGUAUGUCUACUUUAUGAAACACAAGUCUGAGACAUUUGAAAGGUUCAAGGAAUUUCAGAAUGAGGUAGAGAAUCAACGUGACCGAAAGAUAAAAUUCUUAUGAUCAGAUCGUGGAGGAGAAUAUUUAAGUCACGAAUUUGGUACACACUUAAGAAAAUGUGGAAUCGUUUCACACUCACGCCGCCUGGAACACCUCAGCGUAAUGGUGUGUCCGAACGUCGUAAUCGCACUCUAUUGGAUAUGGUGCGAUCUAUGAUGUCUCUUACCGAUUUACCGCUAUCAUUUUGGGGAUACGCUCUAGAGACAGCUACAUUCACUUUAAAUAGGGCUCCGUCUAAAUCCGUUGAGACGACACCGUAUGAAUUAUGGUUUGGGAAGAAACCUAAGCUGUUGUUUCUAAAAGUUUGGGGAUGCGAUGCUUAUGUCAAGAAACUUCAACCUGAAAAGCUCGAACCCAAGUCGGAAAAAUGCGUCUUCAUAGGAUACCCUAAGGAAACCAUUGGGUAUACCUUCUACUUAAGAUCCGAGGGCAAGAUCUUUGUUGCCAAGAACGGAUCCUUUCUGGAAAAAGAGUUUCUCUCGAAAGAAGUAAGUGGGAGGAAAGUAGAACUCAAUGAAGUACUACCUCUUGAACCGGAAAGUAGUGCAACUCAGGAAAAUGUUCCUGUGGUGCCUACACCAACUGGAGAGGAAAUUAAUGAUGAUGAUCAAGGUACUUCGGAUCAAGUUGCUACUGAACUUCAUAGGUCCACAAGGACACGUUCCACACCAGAGUGGUAUGGCAACCCUGUCCUGGAAAUCAUGUUGUUAGACAACGGUGAACCUUCGAACUAUGAAGAAGCGAUGGUGGGCCCAGAUUCCAACAGAUGGCUUGAAGCCAUGCAAUCCGAGAUAGAAUCCAUGUAUGAAAACAAAGUAUGGACUUUGACAGACUUGCCCGAUGAUCGGCGAGUGAUAGAAAACAAAUGGAUCUUUAAGAAGAAGACGGACACGGAUGGUAAUAUUACCAUCUAUAAAGCUCGACUUGUCGCUAAGGGUUAUCGGCAAGUUCAAGGGGUUGACUACGAUGAGACAUUCUCUCCCGUAGCGAAGCUGAAGUCCGUUCGAAUCAUGUUAGCAAUUGCCACAUACUAUGAUUAUGAGAUAUGGCAGAUGGACGUCAAAACGGCAUUCCUUAACGGACAUCUUAAGGAAGAACUGUAUAUGAUGCAGCCGGAAGGUUUUGUCGAUCCUAAGAAUGCUAACAAAGUAUGCAAGCUCCAGCGAUCCAUUUAUGGGCUGGUGCAAGCAUCUCGGAGUUGGAACAUUCGCUUUGAUGAGAUGAUCAAAGCGUUUGGGUUUAUGCAGAAUUAUGGAGAAGCCUGCGUUUACAAGAAAGUGAGUGGGAGCUCUAUAGCAUUUCUCAUAUUAUAUGUAGAUGAAAUAAUUUUGAUGGGAAAUGAUAUAGAACUUUUGGAAAACAUUAAGGCCUACUUGAAUAAGUGUUUUCAAUAAAGGACCUUGGAGAAGCUGCUUACAUAUUAGGCAUCAAGAUCUAUAGGGAUAGAUCAAGACGCCUCAUAGGUCUUUCACAAAGCACAUACCUUGAUAAGAUUUUGAAGAAGUUCAAAAUGGAUCAGUCCAAGAAAGGGUUCUUGCCUGUAUUGCAAGGUGUGAGAUUGAGCGCGGCUCAAUGCCCGACCACGGCAAAAGAUAAAGAAGAGAUGAGUGUCAUCCCCUAUGCUUCAGCCAUAGGAUCUAUUAUGUAUGCCAUGCUGUGUACCAGACCUGAUGUAAACCUUGCCGUAAGUUUGGUAGGAAGGUACCAAAGUAAUCCCGGCAAGGAACACUGGACAACAGUCAAGAAUAUCCUGAAGUACCUGAAAAGGACAAAGGACAUGUUUCUCGUUUAUGGAGGUGACGAAGAGCUCGCCGUAAAGGGUUACGUCGACGCUAGCUUCGACACAGAUCUGGAUGACUCUAAGUCACAAACCGGAUACGUGUAUAUGUUGAAUGGUGGAGCAGUAAGCUGGUGCAGCUGCAAGCAGAGCGUCGUGGCGGGAUCUACAUGUGAAGAGGACUACAUGGCAGCCUCGGAGGCAGCGCAUGAAGCAAUUUGGAUGAAGGAGUUCAUCAUCGACCUAGGAGUCAUACCCAAUGCGUCGGGGCCGAUCAAACUCUUCUGUGACAACACUGGAGCUAUUGCCCUUGCAAAGGAGCCCAGGUUUCACAAGAAGACCAGGCACAUCAAGCGUCGUUUCAACUCCAUCCGUGAAAAUGUUCAAGAUGGAGACAUAGAUAUUUGCAAAGUACAUACGGAUCUGAAUGUCGCAGAUCCGUUGACUAAACCUCUUUCGCGAGCAAAACAUGAUCAACACCAGAACUCUAUGGGUGUUCGAUUCAUAACAAUGUAACUAGAUUAUUGACUCUAGUGCAAGUGGGAGACUGUUGGAAAUAUGCCCUAGAGGCAAUAAUAAAAGGAUUAUUAUUAUAUUUCCUUGUUCAUGAUAAUUGUCUUUAUUCAUGCUAUAGUUGUAUUAUCCGGAAAUCGUAAUACACGUGUGAAUAUAUAGACCAUAAUAUGUCCCUAGUAAGCCUCUAGUUGACUUGCUCGUUGAUCAACAGAUAGUCAUGGUUUCCUGACUAUGGACAUUGGAUGUCAUUGAUAAUGGGAUCACAUCAUUAGGAGAAUGAUGUGAUGGACAAGACCCAAUCCUAAGCAUAGCACAAGAUCGUGUAGUUCGUUUUGCUAGAGCUUUUCCAAUGUCAAGUAUCUUUUCCUUAGACCAUGUGAUCGUGUAACUCCCGGAUACCGUAGGAGUGCUUUGGGUGUACCAAACGUCACAACGUAACUGGGUGAUUAUAAAGGUGCACUACAGGUAUCUCUGAAAGUGUCUGUUGGGUUGACACGGAUCGAGACUGAGAUUUGUCACUCCGUAUGACGGAGAGGUAUCUCUGGGCCCACUCGGUAAUGCAUCAUCAUAAUGAGCUCAAAGUGGCCAAGUGUCUGGUCACGGGAUCAUGCAUUGCGGUACGAGUAAAGUGACUUGCCGGUAACGAGAUUGAACAAGGUAUUGGGAUACCGACGAUCGAAUCUCGGGCAAGUAACGUACCGAUUGAUAAAGGGAAUUGUAUACGGGGUUGCUUAAAUCCUCGACAUCGUGGUUCAUCCGAUGAGAUCAUCGAGGAGCAUGUGGGAGCCAACAUGGGUAUCCAUAUCCCGCUGUUGGUUAUUGACCGGAGAGCCGCCUCGGUCAUGUCUGCGUGUCUCUCGAACCCGUAGGGUCUACACACUUAAGGUUCGGUGACGCUAGGGUUGUAUGAAUAUGAGUAUGCAGUAAACCGAAAGUUGUUCGGGGUCCCGGAUGAGAUCCCAGACGUCACGAGGAGUUCCAAAAUGGUCCGGAGGUAAAGAAUUAUAUAUGGGAAGUCGAGUCUCGGCCAUUGGGAAAGUUUUGGGGUCCACCGGUAUUGUACCGGGACCACCGGAAGGGUCCCGGGGGUCCACCGGGUGGGGCCACCUAUCCCGGAGGGCCCCGUGGGCUGAUGUGGGGAGGGGACCAGCCCCUGGUGGGCUGGUGCACCCCUCCUGCCCCCCCUCUGCGCCUAGGGUUGGGAACCCUAGGGGAGGGGGCGCCUCCACUUGCCUUGGGGGGCACUCCACCCCCUUGGCCGCCGCCCCCCUAGAGAUCCCAUCUCUAGGGCCGGCGCCCCCCUGGGGGUCCCUAUAUAAAGAGGGGGGAGGGAGGGCAGCCGCACCUGAAGUCUUGGCGCCUCCCUCUCCCCUUGCUACACCUCCUCCUCCCGUAGUCGCUUGGUGAAGCCCUGCCGGAACCCUGCUGCAUCCACCACCACGCCAUCGUGCUGCUGGAUCUUCAUCAACCUCUCCUUCCCCCUUGCUGGAUCAAAAAGGAGGAGACGUCAUCCGCUUCGUACGUGUGUUGAACGCGGAGGUGCUGUCCGUUUGGCACUUGGUCAUCGGUGAUUUGGAUCACGACGAGUACGACUCCCUCAACCCCGUUCUCUUGAACGCUUCCGCUCGCGAUCUACAAAGGUAUGUAGAUGCACUCCUAUCACUCGUUGCUAGAUGAACUCCUAGAUGGAUCUUGGUGAAAUCGUAGAUUUUUUUUAUUUUCUGCAACGUUCCCCAACAAUGACCAUGUGUAGACCUAGCUAUAAAUUAUGCAGCCCUUAGUUACAAACCUGAGUGUCCUGGCUUGCAGUGCCCUCAACUGCAUGUAGCCAUGAUACAACUGAUUCGGUUACGAGCAUUGGAAUGCCCUCACAGAAGCAAAAAGUAAAAUCUGAGAGUUAAGAAAAAACCCUAAUGAUACUUCCUUAGAAUCACAUGACAAUCAUGGUUAGCCACAUAAACCUGAUAUCAACAAUAGAUGACGGUUCCAUAGAGCAUCUACAUCCCCUGGAGAUAAACCUCUAUAUAUCAUGUAGGAAAAAAAUGCUAGCUCUAAAUCACACUUUUUAGUCUUUCCCGACUCCAUUGAUAUCAUGUGAACCAACCUGUAGUUGGAUGGUUAGGAGACCAAUGGUAUCCACAGUCCACCAGAGUUGUGUUAAAAAACAAAGUCCAUUGAUAUCAUUACAAUAGUAAUAACCAAGUAACUAAAUUGAAGUAGUUAAGAAGAAAUUCAUAGAAUUUAUCCUCUUUGAGAGAAAGAAGGCUAGUUUAAGAUGAAAGGAAGCAAGGUAACUUCGCCUUGAUUAGUACUAGUAAACAUUGUUCAUGGCACGUUUUCCUGAUCUUGAUAUGCACUGCACAUAGCGUGAUCCUUUCCAUGCACUUGUUGAAACAAAAUUGCUGCUUUAGACAUCUUGUCUUUUACUCUUAUUUAUUUUAUCACAUACUUCAGAGCAACUGAAGUGUUGAUGAAUGUAAUGACUAAUAGAGUAGAUUCUUUGGGGCAUCCCCCACGACAUUGCUCCUACGAGCGACGGGGGGAAACCCUAACCGCCAUCCCCUCAACCCCCUCCUCCCCUCCUCUCGUCUCGCCGUCGCCGGAGCUCGCUGGCGGGCAAAGCUCGGUCAGCGGCGGCGGGGCAUCCUCUCCUCUUCGUGUGGGGCCGGGCGGCGCGUGACGCCUUCUUCGCGCAGGGGCGCGUCGCUAUGCGGUGCAUGGCGGUGUAGGCGGCCGAGCCUCGGCAUGGAGGGCUGCUUGGCAGCGGUGGUGGCGGCGGCUAGUGCGUGGCGGCGAUGGACCAGGCUAGAUAGGAUCUGGAGGGUUCUUGGCGGUGGGCGGCGCGUGGGUGGGCAACGACUUAGCAGGGUCUCUCUGGCCAUGGCCAGGACAGCGUGCAGGCCACUGUUGCAGGGGUUCCGAGGCUGCUGGUCAGAUCCGCCCAGAUCUGGCCCCUGGGCACCGACGGGCGGCUCGGAGUGGUGGCCGCAGUCUCCUGGUUGAGGCUUGGAUGUGGCCUGAAACGGCGUGGUGGCAGCCCAUGGCAGUGGGCUAGGUCAUUCCAUGAUGGCGGCUGGACAUCUUCGACGUCGGUCAUCGUGGACCGGCUCUUGUGAUGGCGGCCUUCUUCCUGCGUCGGCUCGUCCGUAGGUGGCCUGUGGAGGCCUUCGAUCCCGCUCCUUGUCGUCCGAUGCUACUUUUGUCGCAGGGCUGGCCCUCUCCCAGCUGCGCUCCGUCGCCCAUCUCACGCCUAGUGCUGCAGGACCGAGCUCGUCUUCCGCCUGGCAGCAGGACCAACCUCAUCUCACACUUGGCAGCAGGACCGACCUCGUCUCGCGUCCGGUGCUGCAGGAUAGGUCGAUGGAGGCUAGUUUUGGCCGGCCUGGUGGUCUCGGUGCCGAGGGCCGCCCAGGGGUGUGAAAGAUGGAACCUUUCUGCUUGUCUCUUUGGCUGGGUUAGUGGCGGGCCUCAGGUGAGGUGGUGUUAAGGUCUUGGAUGCCAGGGCGGCGGCCCUGGUGCUGGUAGCAUGAUGCUCUUGGGCAGAGCCCGUGGCUUGGUGCUGCCCGGUGGCCAUGGCCGUGUGGGCGGCAUGGCAGCUGGGGUGUGGAGUUCAGUGGCGGUGAGUAUUGACCGGGGUGAAAACCUAUUCUAUUUUUUGAUGGACCGGCAGCGGCGAAGCUUGUUCCCUUCUUGAAGGUAUCGCCGCGACUCUCAUAGCCCGUCGUGUUGCUCUAGGGGAAACUCUGAUCCUUGGGUAGGGCGGUGGCAGCAAUUUGGUAUUGUAACCUUCCUAAAGACCUCGCCUUGGAGCCUACGGUUCGUCGUAUGUGGCUUCAUCUCUUCACGUUGGUGUGUUCACGGUUGAGGAUCCCGGUUGCUCAUGUAGUGCUAGGGGUGGUGUUUCCGCGCUCAACGACUAUAUAUGUAUCCUGCCUUGGGUGUGUGCAUGUGUUGUGUUGGCAUGCGUUUGUACUGGGUUGUUGUUGAUCGUUGUUGUAUAUAUAAAGCGGGGCGAAAGCCUUUUUGGUACAUGACUAAUAGAACUAUGUAUAGACCUCCCCCUUUUUGCAUCCAUAAACACUUAUAUUUGAGUAAGGAUAGAGCAAUUAUGAUAUGGUGAGUACAACCUCCAAACUGCUGGUUCAGUUGUCCCACGGUCCAGCCGCAUAGAGAAAACAGAGGUACUUUCAGCAAUGGUGGCAAGAACCGCGGGUGCCCGCGGCGGAGUGGCUACAAGCAACAGAGUGGCGGCGACUAGCGGAGGUGCAAAUGGAGAAGGUGAGGGCGGGUGCUAGGGCGGAGAUGACCAAUAUGGAGAUCUAGUACCCAAGGUAUCGCGUGCGGUUGUUCAAUGCUGCAUAGGCAAGCGGAGGGAGUUUUUGGGCUCGCAUGCAAUCUAAGUCAAACUCAAGCUAUGACCAAGCCAAGUUCAAGGGCAGCCACAUAAGCUUAGACGGGCCUGGUGAGGCAGGUCCAUGAGCGGGCUCGGCUUGGAUUCUUUCCAACCCAACCAACAACCUCAAGCCAGACAACCAACAUUUAGCUUUCUAUUUUCACAUGGUGGAUUAGUGACAAUAGCUACAUUUUCCCCUAUGCCUCUCAAUCUGGUUACCAAAUCCAUGCACCUCAGAUGGGUAACAUAUCUUGAAUCCGUAUGCCAUAGGAGAGGAACAAAGGAGGAUGUAGAUCAUACCAUGGUGAUAGGGUGGUAAUUGUUACAUGCAUUGCAAGAGAUGAUGUAUCCUGUGAGAUAUAUAGAGAGAUGUAAUGGCCAUGUGGGCCGACCUAGAUAGUAUGUAUCAUGAAAGUACACACUUAAAUGUCCUGACUCAUACAGCUCUCAACCACUUGCAAACAAUGCUAUAAUUGUUCUGUUGACGAGCAUUGGGAUGCCCUCACCCCUCACCCCACCCACACAGGCACACGGGAAUGGGACGGGAUGAAACACAUAGUGAGGAUGCUUCCUUCUACAUUCAUAACCAGGAUUUGCAAUCCUGGAUAACUACGAGACUUCAACACAGAAUAUAAAUUGUUUAACCAGCUAGGUACACUUCCCCCUCAUGCUCAAUUUUGCGCCACACCUCAUCCGGCUCCACAUCCUAAAAUGCAUGCACUAGGGAUUACAAGGCCAGUUGUCCUACUACACAAAUAACCAACCCAAUGGUUCUAGUAACCACACAAUAUGCCUGGGAGAACCAACGAGCUUUUGUUGUCUAGGAACUAGGAUCAAGAGGCUAGUCGGUACGUGUCAGUGGUUCGGUGCCUACACAAAUAAGAAUAGGACAUUGCGUCGAGCCGCGAAAGCUAAUUUUCUUAGCAAAUCCAAGUGAUGUACCAGGCAACCAUGGUAGAAAUCUUGCACUGUGAAAAAAAAUUCAUCAACGAUUCCUUUAGGGAAGCCGUCUGAGAUAUUGACGUACACAUGGAAUACGUAUUCUUUGGCGGGCCAAUCUUGAGCACCACUGGCAUAAACGCAGAAAGGAAUGAGGUGGGCAAAAGAGUGCGCCCUGAGGGAAGGAGAGAUUCCAACUCCCACCAGCGGGACAUCCGUGGCGAGAAGGCUGGACAUGCUCCUUCUUGUUCGAGCCUAGGAAUUACUAGAAGAAACUUCUUUGUUGGCAAGUGACUUUGACAGGAUGUUUUACUCUUCUCUAUGUGGUCUGCUCAAGUGCCACCAUGACAGUGGGGGUGAUGUUGAUGCACUGCACCCCAUGCAUAGACAGGGAAAUACUGAAAUGGUUGCUCCUCUCAAGUAGAAAAUAAUACAAGGAAGACGAUGAUCUUUAGAGCUUUACAGUGAGUGAGUAUGGCACUAACUUUGUUUGAUGUUUACGGACCGACUGAUACCCAGUUGUUUUUCUUUCACAUGUGUUAGGAGUUCAGAUGUUUGAUGCGCUUGAUAUGUCACAUAAGAGUUGAUUAAACUGUUUGAAUGUGUAUAACCUUUUGAUGAGGAGGUCCAGCGACCGCCCCGGUGGCUCCCGCGACGCACCCUGCGCGCGUAUCGGGGGAUCCAGAUCUGCCGCUGGCGGGCAGCUCCCUCCCCCGCCCCCUCAUCCCCCUCGCCGCUGCCAGAGGGCGUCCGCCGGGCAAAGCCCGUGCGGCGCUGGCAGCGGUGGGGCCUCUCUCCUCCCUCCCCUACUCGGGAUACCGCUGACGCGGGUCAGCCGACCGUGGGGGAGUUGGAUCAGGCGAGCUCUCCGGUGGCGGGGACGCGCAGAUUCUGAAGUAGCUAUGCUGGGAGUCGGUGGUGCAGCUCUGCAGCGGUGGUGGUAGGGGACAGGUCCGACGAGGUCGAUCUAGUUCCCUCAGGGCUGCGGGUGUCGCUGGUGGCAGUGGCCACGAGAGAGGGGGCUGCUCCCAUAUCUGGGGGUGGCGCUGGCGCUGCGAUGCACUGGUCUUGGCCAUGCUGGGCGGCGCGCGAGGCGGUGGCGACCAUGGAUCUCGAUCUGAAGUUGGAGGCUUUCACCAGCAGCUUGUCCUCCUUGACCGGCCGAGAUGUGGGCGUCCUCCUAGCGUCCUGUUUGAUGGCGGGGCGCUGGGUGUGGGCACUAGGUCGGGGGAAACCCUUGACCGGCGAUGCCGGGCACGAUGUUGGCGACGCCGGUGGCGUCGUUGUCCCUCUGGUGGGCAACAUCGAGUCUUACUUGAUGCCCUCCACCUACUGGUCUCGGGCGAAAGCCUACAAUCUCUAGAUUGGGGCGGCGAUGGCGCGUCAGCGUCAUGUACUUCUUGAAGGCGCCUUCUUGGGGGAUCAGCGGUCUUGGAUUUGGCGUGGUGUUGGUUUGUUUCUUCAGUGGAGUUCAUGCUCGAUAGUUGCAGUGGGCUUCUGGGUCUUGGCCAGAGACAGUGGCGAUGUAUGGGUUUCAUUCAGAGGUGAGGUUGCCAGGGUGGUCGCUCUCUCCUUGACAUCUGGUUCACUGGUCCAAGGGUGCUCGGGGGUGAGCUGCUUUGCCUACUGAUGGGUCGACUUCCUUCGAUCCAGGACGAGAGGGUGGGGGUGCCCUCUUCAGCGGCAUAUUUGGAUGGUGAACCGAGUGGCCCUGGGAGGCGACGAAGCAUGGCUCUCCUCCAGCGACGAUUAGCUCCCUUGUCGCGGGCGUGUCCAUGUCAUGAUCUGUAACCGUCAUGGGCUCCAAAGUGCUUUUGGGUUCUUCGGAGCUCGUUAGCUGUUCCGUAGUGCUUUGUAUCCGUGUUGAUUGUAUUUUCCUUUUCCUGUUGUCCUGUUGGUUGUAAGGUGUGGUCAUUGCUUUAUAUAUAAAGUGGGGCGAAAGCCUUUUUCGGCAGAACCUUUUGAUUUGCAGUUGACUUUUUUCACAUUGCAAACUUCGGAGUGCUCAUUGCAAGACUAUGUUCUGUAACUGUGGUAAUUGUAGCCCACGUGUGAGGCCAUCAUCUUGAACUAUCUAAGUGUUUGAUUGUUUUCUUUCAUUUGUGUUGAGGGAAUGAGUUUAACUCAGAUGACACUGCUUGCUGGGUAACUGUUGUUCAUUUGUCAAAUUGAAUUAGAGAGACUGGCUAUGAUUACAGUUAAGCAAUUCUUAUUCUUAUCAUGAGUUCAUGAAUAAUUAAACUAUGGCUUCAUUAGCGCUAACACAUCGCUGCCAACAUGCCCACUGCUUUAGGAACUAGAUGCUUCUUACACUACCUAUUUGAACAUCUCAAAAAUAAUGGUUGUGUCAGGAGUUAAACAUAGUUUCAUGAAUCCAUAGGUUGUGGAUGUUGUAAGGAAGCAUCAUUGCACCCUCAGGCUGGUUGCAACAACAUUUAGCCAGGAAGCCGGGGCUCUUCUCUUUUCUGUAGGAAGUGACUUCUUGAUGGAAGCAAUAUCUUUCCCAAUACCUCACAAUCCGAUUACCAUUCAUCUCACAUGGGAAACUCAAUUCAUAUACCAUGGGAGAAGAAGAAAGGAGAAUGUAGAUCAUACUGUGGUGGACACCCUGUUUUUUUUAUAAAGUCGUGGCCAUGGUGUCUGUUGUAUGCAUUGCAAGAGAUGGUGUAUCAUGAGGGAUAUAUAUAGAGCUAGGGAAUAAUGGCCAUGUGUACAUCUAGCUAUAAGGUAUGCAGCCCGUAGGGUACAUACCUUAAUGUACUGGCUUGUAGAGAUCUCAACCCCCUUCAUCCAUGAAGCAAUUGAUUCCCUUACGAGCAUUGGGACACGCUCACAGAAUGAAAAAAAAACUGAGAGGUAAGAAAACCGAAGGUACGUCCUUAGAAUGCACGACACGCGUGGUUAGCUAUCUAAAAACUGAUGUCAAUAAAAGAUGACGGGUCCUUGGAGCAUCCACAACCCUUGGAGCCAAACCUCUAUAUAUCACUUAUGUAGGAAAAAAACCAACCUAUCUCUACAACACCCUUUUCAAUCUUCUUUAAUCCCAUUGAUAUCAUCACCAUAGUAAUAAAAUAGUAAUUGAGUUAAGUGGGCUUUUUAGAUAAGAAGAAAUUCAUAUAAAUCCUUGUUGAUAGAAAGAAAUAUAGUUUCACAUGAAAAGAAGUGCUCGUGGAUGUGGAUGUGACCACAAUGAAGUAUCCCCCCUUUGCAAUCAAUCUAUAAAAUCUGUUGGGCAUCUUUUCAUUGAGCUCCCAUUCUCCAUCUAAACAUGGUUUAAGCUCAGCCUAAUGUGCAUUGACUUAAGCUCCAUAAAGAUCAAUGCCCUCGGAACCAUCAAUGAUCGGUGGAGCAACAUCGUUGGUGAGAACCAAAAAAAUGCAACUGCGGUGCCAAAUUUUCCGGUCAUAUUUGGAACAAAUUAAACCACUGUAUUUUUCAUAACUCCAUCACCAACCAUGACUUUGUCGUCGGUUAGAUCAACUCUGUUCUGGAUGCCCCAAAUCUAGAGAUUUUAUCUCUCUCGUCGUUGUACAGUCAGCGCCUAACGGUGAGUGAACCCUCUUUUUUUUCUCUUGAACUCUUACAUAUAUCUUCCUAACCUAUAAUCUGAAGGUAGAGAUGCUGCCAAUUUAGCUUAAAAAAUCUUUAAAAAAUAGAUGAAAAGGAAGUCAUGUAACUUUAUCUGCUUUUUAAAUACCAGUAAACAUUAUUCUUGCCACCUUUUCCUGAUCCUGGCAUGCACUGCACAGAGUACCAUAUUUUCCAUAGACUAGUUGAAUCAAAAUUGCUUCCCUAAUCAUCUCGUCCUUUACUCUUCAUUAUUUUAUGAAAAAAUUCAGAGUGACAAAGGUAUUGAUAAAUGAAAGGACUAGUGCUAAACAUAAACCUUUCUUUUUUGCAUCCAUAAAAAUAUCCAUUUCAUUAAACAUAUAACACUUAUGGUGAGUGCAACUUCGAGACUGUAUCACAAAUCUUCAGAAUGCUUGGACAUAUGAAUGAUAUGAUCCCCCUGGAACCAUGAAAUGAAGCCUUAGAGAAAGUGUUUGGAAUAUGACGAAGACGAGCAAGCCUUUGUCGGCGAGUGAUAAGAGAAAUGUAGGAGCUUGCCAGGACAACUUGGUAAGCAAGCUACCUAUUAUGUAGGCGCCAACUCCCAGCUUUUUCUCUUCUUUCUUUUUGAUUUUUUAUUCUCGUUUUUUGUAAGCUGUGGUUGGCAAACCAUCUAGCUAGGAUAUGAAAGAGUGGUGGUGACCGGCGGAUUGGCAAUGGCUAAGGAGCAAGGAGCGGUGCUGACUGGCGGAGUAGCACUGUAGCAGCGGCCGGUGAAGGAAAAGAUGGAUGGCGUGGGGGCCGAUGAUAGCUCUAGCAUGCGGGGCCUCAAGUGUGGGGGUCAAGAUUGAAAGGAGGGCUCGUGUGCCGGUGCAUGAGAGAGAGAGAGAGAGAGAGAGAGAGAGACAAGCUGAGAACAUGAGGGAGUUGCUAGGCUCACGAGUAGAUCGUCUCAAUGUCGAGCUUUGGCCAAGCUGAUUCCAAGUCCAACUUUGAAAGCUUAGACGAGCCACCAUGAACCAGCUUGGCUCAGCUUGUUUCCAACCCAAGGAGUAGCCUGUAGCCAGAUAGUCAAUGUCGACCUUUGUUUUUCCACAUGAAGGGCUAAUGAUAGUAGCUACAUUUUCCCCAAUGCCUCUCAAUACGAUUACUACUCACCUCAUACGAAAUAUAUCUUGAACCCAGACGCUAUAGGGGAUGAAUAAAGAAGGAUUUUGCUUAUACCAUGGUGCCCAGUGGUGCCAAUUGUUGAUUCUUGAUUGCAUUGCAAGAGAUAAAAUUGUCAUGGUGGAGCAGGGAGGUUUUGUUGUCCAUGAAUAGACGCAAACGGUUGUCGACGCAAGUGAUAGCUAGAAGUUGGUGCAUCUUGUGCUGGGUUUGUGGUUGGAGGCUGACAGUUCUGGCUUCCUCCUCCGAUGUCGUCAUCGUGUGAGGGUGUCAGAUCUGAAGUUCGAUGGUGUGUCCGGGGACAUUUUGCCCCGGUCUGAUUCUUUCAACGACAAUGGUUUAGUUUCUGGCAAACUACUUUCAAGGUCCGUAAAGCUGCCGAUCAGUGAUGGAGCCGCAUCAAGUUUGGGUGAAGAGGUGAUCUUUCUUCUUUCCCUUUGGUGGCUGCUUCGGUGGUGUUGAAGGAGAGGGGCUGCGUGGAUAUUUUGUGUAGGAUUAUCCUAUCUUUUUAGUCCUGUAAAGUCGAUGUUUACGUGCCUUAUAAUUUGAUUUUUAUUCUACAAAUGAGACACGUAUUAUCAUGCAAAAAGGUACAAAACUAAAUGUGAUGACUUGUACAUUUCUUGACCACUGUACCCGCAACCAAUGAUGCAGGUUCGUUUACGAGCAUCACACACACCCACGCUCGCGCACACACACGCAAACGUGAUGCAACACAAUGUGAGGAUGCUUCCUUUGAAUUAUGUGACAAGCAGGAUAAAGGCAUCUCUAGCAGAUCCUUUAUAUCAUGCACCCAUAUAUCGCGUUUACAGUUCGUGGCUGUCUUCGGAUAUGGGCUGAAUACAGUUGCGGCUGAACAACAACCGAAUACGAACCUGCAAAAUUUGUAAUCACAUAUUCGCUCGAGAAAUUGUACUAGUUUAGUAGGACUGCUAACACUUGAUCAUCUUAAAAAGUCAUACAAAGUAGAAAUUUUACACCUAAUAUUUGGAGGAGCAGGCGCCACCAUAACCCUAGUUACAAAAUUGGGCUCAUCAGAGCCGGGGGGAUUGCAGCGGCGACACUGUAGCGGAGGAGGAGCUCAGUCCACAUCGUCGGAGACGAGGUCGACGUAUAGACCUCGUCCUGCUUUUUGGCUACGAGGCGCCACUCUUCCAUGUUAGCCGCAAACUCCUGCGCCCCCGCGAUCCCCUGCUCGAGGAAGAUUCUAUCGAUGUCGAUGUCGACGUCCCGUUGACGGUGCUGCUUUGCCUCCUCCGCGUAGAGCGCGCAUGAUGGCAGCCGCCAUGACAUCCGCCUCCGCCGGGGGGAGGUAAUCCUCUGGCCCGACGACGCUCUGCCGCUCCGGCUCCCUCUUUACCGCGUGGAGCGGCGGGAGCUCCUCUGGCUCUCUUUUCACCGGGGUGAGCGGCGUCCUCGAGCUCGAGGCACCGGCGGAGGAGCCGGAGGACAGCCCGCGGUGGAGGAGUGCCUGCCUACGGUUGUACUCCGUCUCGCGGCGGAGGAGCGAUGGCGGUGGCGAGAGCCCGUUGUUGGUGUACCCGGGCGCUCCUUUUCCUCACGGCGUCGGCGGUGACGCACCGCCUCCGCUCGGGGUCGUCGCCACUGCCGGUGCCGCGGCCCGCCGACCACGUUCCGCAUCACAUCAAGAGGGGAGAGGGGGAAUUGAAGUCGCCGGCGGAGAGAAAUCGAGAGGGAGGAUGGGGAAUUGCGGCGGCGCGGAUAGGGUUUCGACCCGUAUUUCAGCCGCAAACCCUUACAUAUAUUGCGUGCGAAGGGGGGGGGGCAAUUUGCGGGUCACUGUAAAAGAAAUUAUGGGUCGGACGAUUAUAUAGGCUCUGGUCUUGCCCAAAAAAGGGGCCAAACCUGUAUAGUCGUCGAAUUUUUACGGGCCAUCCCAUUUUAAGAGGUCUGCUAGAGAUGCUCUAAGCCAUCUUAAAACAUGUAUUAAAGCAGAAGAUGCUUACUUAGAUCCACUAUUGGCUUUUCAUUAAACCUGAAAUACAAUUUAUAGAAAUUAAAAAAAAGAUGUAAUGUUUAUGCACGAGACCAGAGCACACUUAUUGAGACUGAUAUUGAUUUAUUGUGAAGCCAUCAUUUUCCAUGAAUCCAGUCAUAGGCCUGGGCGUUCGGUAGAAACCGGAACUGUUCGUUUUUUUAAAUUCGGUUAGCAAAAGUCAAAACCGAAAUAGGCAUGGAAAUCAAUUAACCAAAAAUCCAGUUAACCAAUUUAUUUGGUUCGGUUUCCGGUUUUAACCCAAAUUUGGAUUAAGCAUACAAAACACAGUUUCAGUGCCAUAUGCACAGUUUCAGGAAAUUUAUCAUAUGAACACUUGAACAGAAAAUGAACACAAUAGACAAUCCAUCAUUCGCUGCUGAAGUACAUGUCCACGAACAUCAUAUGAACAUGCAUCCAUCCAAGUUACCAAUACAACAGUGCAAUAACUAAACAAGAAUUUGAGGCGGAGGAUGGGACGACUGGAUGGACGGACAAGCGAGCGAGCUACAAUCGGCGAAGCAAUAGGGGGCGCUGCGCUCCUCCUCUGGUCCUUUCCUCUGCGUGCAGCGACUGCGUGAUGGUCGGCGGCAGGUGAGAAGGUGAGGGAGGAGAUGGGGGAGAUCCCAGGCAUUGGCAGUGGGCAUACAAGACGGCCCGUCGGCUUUUAGGGAGUCGAGGUCGGGGAUGUGGGAGAAGAUGUGGUGGUGGCUCACCGAGUGGCGGCCGGCGGCGGCAGCGGUUGAAUCGGGGCGGGGGGUUGAGGAUGGAGAACGAAUGCUAGGCUGUUGUGUCCCUUUGUCUAGUAUACGUGGUACGGUUGUGACCUAGGUCUAGUACGUGGCUACCGUCGGCGUGCCACUUCCAGGAGUUCCUAGUUGGGCCGGCCGGCCGAGAGGGCUGCAUGAUUUCGGCUUCUUUGGUUAACCGGUAGAAAUACCGAAACCGACCGAAUUGAGUUCGGUUAGUAACACAGGUAACCGAAUUUUCUACGCUCGUUAAAAAAAACGACGGUGUUGGUUUCGGUUCAGGUUUUGGUUGGUCGGUUUUUAUGCCCAAGCCUACCGGUCAAGAUCAAUGCUCGGAGCCUUUCAAAGCUUGAUAUAUAAACGAUGUACCCAAAGCGGCAACAAAAGCUCGAGCACCAUCCUUGUUGGAUUUCACCCAGGAGGGAUCACAUGAAAAACCACACGAACAUACAUAUAUGACCGAAACAAGUUAGCCAAAGUCAUGUGCCAUGCGCCUUUCUUUUUCAUUUCUUAAAUUCAUAACUAAAUUUUGGGACCCAUAUGUAGCACAUAUAUCUGAACCUUAACUCCACCUAAUACUAGCCAAUCAGGAACUGGUGGUAAUACACUAAUACUAGUCAGUCACGUCUGAGCCUACAGGAACAUGUAAUUCGUAAUCCAACUUUCUUGCAGUUGUUGGUCUGCGUUGUGCUAUGAAUCAUAGCCUAUGAUUAUAAUCUGCUGUUAAAAAAUAAGCAUCAAAAGUAGAUGCACGCAUGCAGAUUAUAAUCCUCCUCCACAAGAAAAGAUCCCAGCACUAUUGGAAUUUUUACGUACGCCGGGUGUAAUGCUCUUCGCCGAGUGCUAAAACACGGACAGUCGGCAAAGCAAGCUUUACCGAGUGUCACUCUCGGCAAACCCACCUUCACGGCAAACUGCAAUCUUUGCCGUCACUGCCUCACGGCGAAGAGGCACCGUAUGGCAAACCCUGUAGACGCCGAGAGCCGCUCAUGGCAAAGAGUAGCCACGUGGCAUGCCCGUCCGCAACAGACGGCUCCGUCAGUUACUGCGUACUUUGCCGAGUGUCGCUCUCGGCAAAGCACAUACAACAUCCUAUAUUUUUUUUUGUGUGUUCUUUCUAACUGACAUGUGGUCCCACUGGUGACAUUUUAUCAGUAAAAACAAUGACGAUAUCUUUGCCCAGAGGUGCUCUCGGUAAUCCUUCAUGGGAGCUGACAGUUUACAUAGCUUUGCCGAGAGCUAGGCUCGGCAAUGCUCUCCUUUUUUGAGAGCUUCUGUCGAAAAAGUUGUGGCACAACAGUAGUGUCCCAGACGACCAUGUUUCCGAGAGUUGCUCUCGGUAGUCUACCUUUUUCCGAGUGUUGCUCUCGGAAAUCUUUCCCAUCCAUUCUGCUGUCAAGCUAUUUCUUUUCUGAUCCCUGCAGAUAAAAACCACUACAGUGCAAUUUGAUCUAGUCCACACAUAUAUAGGCAUAAUUUGAUCAUAUAUAGGCAUAAUUUGAUCUAGUCCACCUAUAUAUGCAUAAUUAGGGAUAGUCCACAUAUUGUCACACACAAGUCGAAUGUAUUAUCCUAGUAGACGUCACACACAAGUCGCAAAUUCAUACAUAUUGUCACUGCUUGCAAAACACGUGCACGUCACAAUAGAAGUACACUUGUUCAUAUAUAGAUCAUCUUGAUGAGGAGAGGCCAUCGGGUUAACAUUCCGGAGGAGGAGGAGGGGCAUCACUUGCACUGCUUAGAGAUUGCAUAAGAAUCUAUAAGAGUAGACUCACGUGAGGGUGGUUCGUCCCUAUGUAAUGAAUCUUCUACUCUAGUUUAGAUAAUGUUCUACCUGUAGUUGAUCCUCAAGCAUCUUCAACCUAUUGUUAGUGUCUGCCCGUUCCUUUUCUCUGGACUCCUCCUCAGCCUUCCGCCUUUGCUCCUCUUCAACAGCCCGCUGCGCCAUUAAAUCCUGUAACAUGGCAUUAGGCUCAUAUAGGUUGAAACGGUGCUAUUUCAAGGCAUGUACAUAAAUAAAAGGUUAGGAUGCUAACCUUGAGACGCGCUAUCUCACAUGAUGCGGCAGUUGGGCGACUCCGUAUGGACGGAGUGAGCUGGUGCUCGACGCACGUAUCUCGUGCAGCUUGCGGUGCCCAGAGGUGGUGGUCGCCCCGUUGCAAAGGAGGUGGCGACCAUGGCCCUUCCCCUGGCCAGCAAUGAUGAGAAGCUCAGGGUCAAGGGGCUUGGACGUAGGUUCGGCUUCCUUCCCGUGCACCUCCUAGAAGACCUCUUUGAAGGUCCCCCACUUCUCCUCCGCCGACUUGCUGCAGAACUCGGCGCCAUCCUUCCCCUUGUGGCCUUCUUUCCAGGCUUCCAGGAUGUGGACCGGUCGACCAACCUUCGCCUCCUGCAAAAUUAACCAUCAAGUUGAAUGAACCAAGAUGCACCGUGCGAAAAAGUUAACAUCUUAAUCCACAUACCAUGUGUUGCUUGAGAGCGGUUAGGUUCCGGCUCCCCUAGACAUGGGCCGGGCCUGGCAUUUUGGCUCGUUCGUUUCCCUUCUCCACAUGCUGCGCCUGCCAUGCUGGGUCACACCACAUGUCAACCAGGGCCUCCCAACAAUCGUCCUUCAUCCAGGGUUCCUUCACCUAGUCAGAAAAAAUCGAAUAAUUGAGGAACAAGAGGGAUGAAUCAAAGUACUAGCAACCGAUGUAGUCACUUACCACUAACAGGUAUUCUUCUCGCGACAAGUUGGUCUGGCAAGCAGUCUUCCUUGUCAUCUUCUCGCCCUUCUCAUUGAGCGGCCGACACUGCAUCACGGCUUUGUACCACAGCGUGUGCUUGGUGUCAGAGAGUAUCUUUCGGUCAGAUUUCACGAUGCCUUUGAUUGCCUUCUGCUGCUCACCAUCCACGCAAGCAAAUGUUUGCUACAAGAAAGCAUAUGGCAUCUUCUCACCAUCCACGCAAGCAAGGAUUUGGAUAUGAAAAAAUGCAGUGGUCGGAGCUAAGAUACUUACAAAAAAGCAUUGAUGACCCGAGUGGCCAUGGUGACAUCGUGCUCAUCCUUGUUGUGUAGGUAAUGCUCCCAGGUUAAACCUGGCGACGGCGGAUCGUCAUCACCCGGCUUGGACAAUCCAGGGAAGUGCUUCCUCAAGAGGGAGCUGAUGAUGUGGUUCGGCGGGCGUGCCCCCUUAGGUUGUGUCAGGAUAAAUUCCCACCGACUGCAUGAUAUAAAAGACAAGCAUAUGUGAGUGUCAAAGCUAUGACAUCCAAAAUAUGAUGCAAAUGAAAUGCUUGCUUACCCCUCUCCUGUCGGGCAAAUGACAGGAUGGUUGCUGGCAGCAGUUGGUUCCGGGACCUUCCCCGGACCACGCCCGGAUUUCUUCCUCUUGGAAAUGUUGCUCGAUGUAGACCCCGAGCCGUCCGAGGCCUCCAUGUCGCCCGACUCAGUGGCGAGCGGAUCUAAGUCCACUCCGACAUCGCCAUCCGAUGAUGACGAUGCCUCGGUUGUGGCAUGAUGGGAGGCGAACGACUCGGCCCUACCAAUCGGGACUCUCCGGUACUUAUUACGAGUGCUCUCAUCAGAAUCUGAAAAACAAAAUAUAUAUGGUUACUCUCAGUUCCAAAGCAAAAUCUUCCUAAUCUAAGUGUCAUAUCAUAUAUGGCAAAAAAUAACACAAAUAGCUCAAUCAAGUCUCAGAUAUAUAGUUCCAUUUACUAAUGACAUAACACUGACAAGGAUUUUUUUUUGAAACGAAAGGGGUUGCCCCCCUGCCCCAAAUUUUUAUUAAAAAAGCAAAGGCAACCUAAGAUCAGAGUUCACCACUGACAAGGAAAUAAGCACAACUAUAUAGUUUCAUUGAUCUACUCUAGUAUUUAUCUAAAAAAAACACAAGCACUAGUAUUGAUCCUUCGAGCACUCAUUCAGUUUAACUAAAACUAAACCAGUCAAGCAUAGGAGUCAAAACCAAAGCAUUCUACUCUAGGCAUUAUUCCAAACUUCUAAACUUCCAUACUACUCUAGGAUAUCACUUACUUCGAGGCAUGGACCAUCAAACGUACCAAAUACGACAAGGGCAAGGACCCUCUCCACCCGGAGAUGGACUGGAUCAUCUCUAAAGCCCGGUCAGAUGGAGAGAACUACACCAAAAAAUUAAAGGAGACGUACGGGCCUGACGCUGAUCCUCACGUGCUACCGUUUGACCCUCUUGUGGCCAUUGCCACGGCAGGAGGUAGACCGAAUGGCCGGAUGGCGGUUCACCUCGAUUCUGUCAUAACCUCCUCCCUUCCGACAGUCAACACGCUCCGUGCUAUGAGUACUGGCUCUACUCCUACCGUAGAGCGUCACGUACCACAUUCCGUGAGCAUUAUUGAGGAUAUUCAGGUCAGUGCUUCUUCAUUGAUCCUUCAUGGUCCUUCUUCAUUGAUCCUUCUUCAUUAUUGAGGAUAUUUGCAUUUCAACAUGAAUGACAUUUGCAUUGCCAUAUUGUAGACUCGACUGAUUGACACCGAGAAAGAACGAGAUGAAAACCGGGCCAAGUUGAAGGCACAAGAUGAUCUAGUGAAGUCUUUACAACAUAUGGUGGCCAAUCUUUAUUCCAUGCAAGGCCAACCAGUGCCAGAGAUGCCACCGAUGCCAGAGUGGAACAUUGUGAGUUUUGUUCCAACUAUUACUAUCACCAUUUUCGGCAUUACCAUAUGCAUUCAUCUCACUAUUGGGUCAAUCCAUCACAACUCAACCCAUCACAAGGGUCGAACAAUGUUCCGGUAGUUCCACCUCAAGUUGGUGGAGUUGGGGCAGCAAAGGGAAUGAUGCCUUCUAAUGUUGAUGUUAUCACUCCGGUUCAUGGAGUUGGGGCAACAAACGGAAUGAUGCCUUCUAAUGUCGAUGUUAUCACUCCGAUCUCCAAAAUCGCGUGAACUUCAUGUUAUGUUUGAAACUGUUCCUUGUAUGUUGAGAACUCUUGCAUCUUGAGACUUGUAAACUUGUGGUCUAUUGCUUUGAUGCACUAUUGCUUUUAUGUGGAAUGUUUUUCAGAAUCAAUCAUUGCUUCUUUUGUUCAAUGAUGCCUACAUGGGACAUGUUCUAUGUGUGAUGAACUAUAUGCUGCUGCUGUAUAUGUUUCGCUGCAGGAAAGAAACAGAAACAGGGAAAAAAGGCUCCUGGGCACACUAUUGCCGAGGGCGGCUCUCGGCAAUGACUGUGAAAUUGGACCAGAACGCACCCUUUACCGAUAGGCCUCUCGGUAAAGGAUAAUAACCUGUAGUCCUCCUGGCACCUUUACCGAGAGGCCUCUCGGUAAAGGAUAAUAACCUGUAGCCCUCCUGGCAACUUUACCGAGAGGACUCUCGGUAAAGGAAAAAGAAUUGCCGACGGUGGCUCUCGGCAAACUAUUUUCACGGCUUUUAGGAGAAGUGAUGUGGCCCUUCCCUAUUGGCUGAGUUUGCCGGGAGUCACACUCGGCAAAUAUAGAGUUUGCCGAGAACAUCCCUCGGCAAAGUUGUCAUUCUUUGCCGAGAGUGGCACUCGGCAAAGAUGGCCCUCGGCCUGUUUGCCUGGUCCCACCUGUUAGGAGCUGACAUGUGUCAGCCACCUACUGGCUAUCUUUGCCGAGCGUGGCGCUCGGCAAAGAUGGCCCUCGACCUGUUUGCCUGGCCCCACGUGUCAGGAGCUGACAUUGUCGAGAGGGGCACUCGGCAAAGAUGGCCCUCGGCCUGUUCACCUGGUCCCACGUGUCAGGAGCUGGCACGUGUCAGCCACCUACUAGCUGGCUUUGCCGAGAGGCGCACUCGGCAAAGAUGGCCCUUGGCCUGUUCGCCUGGUCCCACAUGUCAGGAGCUGACACGUGUCAGCCACCUACUGGUUGUCUUUGCCAAGAGGUGCACUCGGCAAAGAUGGCCCUCGGCCUGUUCGCCUGGUCCCAUGUGUCAGGAGCUGACACAUGUCAGCCACCUACUGGCUGUCUAUGCCGAGAGUGGCACUCGACAAAGAUGGCCCUCGGCCUGCUCCCCCUGGUCCCACGUGUUAGGAACCGCCGUCACCGUCUGCUAUCCGUUAGCUACUUUAUUUUGCCGAGUGGUACUAUUUGACUCUCGGCAAAGUCUUUGCCGAGUGCCCGCGUUCUGACUCUCGGCAAACUCCUGUUUGCAGAAGAGGUGUACGCCGGGUGGCUUUUGCCGAGGGUGACACUCGGCAAAGGCUUUGCCGACGGUUUUUGGCCCUUUGCCGAGUGUCUGUGGCACUCGGCGUAGCACAGAAUUCCAGUAGUGCGGGAUUCCCUCUUCCUCCCAUCCGUGCCGCCGCCGGUCUGUCCAUCUCCGAUGGUCUUUGGGCCAUGGAGGUGUGGAGGACCUCGGGCCCCCGCCGGCAGGGGGGGGGGGGGCGUUCUUGUUCUUACUAGUUUCGAACAAAUUGCAAAAACCAUCAUAAUUGGGGACCCUAAUUCAUAAAUCUUGUUUACUCAUGGAUUUGUGAAUUAGGGUUCAUGAAGGAGAGGAGACAUUGGGGAAAAUUCUGGGGUCUUCUACCAAUCCCCUUCUCACUUCUCUUCAUUUAUAUUUUUGUUCUUUUACGAUGUAGUCUUCAUGUCCUUACAUAAUUACAACUCACAUCAACACUCCCCCUCAAGAUGGGGUGAAUAUAUCAUACAGACCCAUCUUGCUACAGAAAAUAGAGAAUGAUUUCUCGGGUAGACCUUUUGUAAGUAUAUCCGCUACUUGACUAGAUGAACUUACAUAAGGCAUACACAUUAUUCCUCUAUCGAAUUUCUCUUUGAUGAAGUGAUGAUCAAUUUCCACAUGUUUGGUUCUAUCAUGUUGCACUGGGUUAUUUGCAAUAUCUAUGGUGGCCUUGUUAUCACAUUAUAGCAUCAGUGGUGAUUCCUUGAACAACCCUAGUUCUGUCAGUAAUAUCUUUAACCAUAAUACCUCACAUACACCAUGUGCCAUAGAUCAGAACUCAGCUUCUGCUGUGGAACUAGCCACAAUAGUUUGCUUCUUGUUGCGCCAUGAAACUAAAUUCCCACCAACGAAGGUACAGUACCCAGAUGUUGAUCGUCGAUAUCCAGUGAGCCCGCCCAAUUCGCAUCAGUAUAACACUCAACCUGGAAAAUUCCCUGAUGACUGUACAGUAAACCCUUUCUAGGACACCCCUUCAAAUAGCGUAGGAUUCGAGUCACGACAUCCAUAUGAUAUGAUCUUGGGUCAUGCAUGAAUUGGCUCACUACACUAACAACAAAUGAAAUAUCUAGUCGAGUAUGAGACAGGUAAAUGAGCUUACCGACUAAUCUUCGAUAGCAUUCACGGUCCACGGAUUUUCCUGAAUCACUCAUCAGGCGAUGGUUUUGCUCAAUUGGGCUUGCAGCUGGACGACACCCAAGCAUACCUGCCUCUUGUAGUAGGUCUAGGACAUAUUUUCUUUGGGAAAGGAAAAUACCUUUUGUUCCUCUAGAUACUUCUAUCGCAAGAAAAUAUCUCAAGUGUCCCAAAUCCUUGACUUCAAACUCUUGCGCAAGAUGAUGUUUUAAGUGAAAAAUUUCCUCUUGGUCAUCACCUGUGAUAAAAAUGUCAUGCGCAUAUACAAUGAGGAGGACAACCUUGCUCAUUCUAUGUUUGUAAAACAUGGUGUGAUCUGCAUUGCUCUGAGUGUACCCAAUUCUCAACAUAGCAUGCCGAAACCUGUCAAACCAGGCCCUCGGCGAUUGUUUGAGCCCGUACAAGGAGCGACUUAAGCGAAGUACCUUUCUAGUAACAUAGCCGGACUCGAAACCUGGUGGGACCUCCAUACACACUUCUUCUUGAAGGUUGCCAUGAGGAAAUGCAUUUUUUACAUCCAUCUGGUGAAUGUUCCAGUUCAAGUUUGCUGCACAUGAUAUGAGUGUUCUACCAGAAUUCAUUUUUCCUAUAGGUGCAAAUGUUUCCUCAUAAUCAAUUCCAUAUGUUUGGGUAUAUCCCUUUGCCACAAGGCAAGCUUUAUAUCUAUCCACUUUACACUCUAGGGUAUGCUUAAUGUUGAAAACCCACUUGCAACCUACAGGUUGUUUACCUGGUGGUACAUCCACAAGCUGCCAGGUUUUAUUCUUUUCCAAAGCUCACAUCUCUUCAUGCAUAGCUUCCCUCCACUUUGGAUCCUCUUUGGCUAUGUCCCAACUAUUAGGUAUGAAUGUGGAAUCUAGAGGUGUAAUGAAGCUCUGGAAGGAUGGGCUACAAUGUUUGUAGGAGAUGAAAUUGGCUAUGUUGUGUUUAUAACCAACGUCGUAGUCUUUUAGGUGUGGGGAAGAUUUAAGGUUCUAGUUGGUUUUCUCAAGGCAAUGGGUAAAUUACCUCGUGGAACAGAUGUCGACAAUUGGUUAUCACUCUCACCCAUGGUGCUAGUAGGAGCAAUAGGACUAGGAGAGUGGUCAUCAGUACCUGGGCCAUCAUGUGCAGAGUGAUCAACAUUCUGUGAAGGUGAUAAUGAAUCUCCUAUUGUAUCUUUGCAUGUCUCCAUGACCAGAACUGUUACUCUCCUCAUGGUUAGGAAUAUUAUUAUCAAGAGCAGAAGCAUCUGGAGAGGGACAAGUAUUGAUCCAAUAAGGGUGCCUCCACCACUGCUCUCCCCCUCUUGUCCUACUUCAGGUGGGGAAAGAACAAUGUCAGCGUCAUUGGCUGAUCCAAGAUAAUAAGGUUCAUGUUCACGAAAGGUCACAACCAUACUCAUAAAGAACCGACGUUUAGAGGGACACCAACACCUAUAGCCCUUUUGAGAAGGAGAAUAGCCCAUAAAGACACAUUUGAUGGCACGAGGAUCUAAUUUCCCAACAGAAUUUCAAUAAUCAUGCACAAAAGAAACACAACCAAAUACCUUUGGAGGGACCACAAAAUCAUUUUUGUAUUCAAAAGACACUCAGCUGGAGACUUAAACUCACGUGUGCGUAGAGGUAUACGAUUUAUUAAAUAUGUUGCUGUUUCUAUUGUCUCCCCCUAAAGAAACUUAGGGACAUUCAUGGUGAACAUGAGUGAAUGAGCAACUUUAAGUAAAUGCCUAUUCUUACAUUCUGCAACACCAUUCUGUUCUGGUGUAUUAACGCAUGUAGUUUGAUGUUCAAUGCCAUGUGAUGGAAGGAACUGUCCAAACUCCAUGUUAACAUAUUCAGUACCAUUGUCAUAACGUAAGGUUUUUUAUAGUUGUUCCAAACUGGUUUUGAAUGAGAGUACACAAAUCUUCGAAAAUAGGGAACACAUCACUUUUAUGCUUCAAAAGGUAAAGCCAAGUGUAACGACUAAAUCCAUCAAUGAAAGUCACCCAUGUCCAGAAACAGAAUAAACCUCACAGGGCCCCCAAACAUCAGAAUGUAUUACUUCAAAUGGUUUAUGACAUCGCAAACCCCUGCUAGGAUAGAUGCCCCUUGUAUGUUUUGCUAAUUCACAUGCGUCGCAUACAAGGGAUUCUCUAGGACACACGUUAAAGAGAGAGGGAUAAAUACGUGACAUAGCAACAAAAGAGAGGUGUCCCAAUCUUCGGUGAUGAAGUAACAAUUCUUGAGUAGGACUGUAGGAGACAUGCAAGUUGCAAGAGAAAUUUCAUCUCCCCCUUCAUCAAGAUAGUAGAGUCCCUCAUGCAUGGUCCCAGUCCUGAGAACUCUCCUUGUCCCAAGCUCCAGAAAAGCACAACAUGUAGGAUCAAACCAACAUCUACAAUUGAGAGCUCUAGUGAUGGAGCUAACUGAUAAUUGGCUGAUAGGAAAUUUAGGAACAUGCAGAACUGGUGAUAAGGACAAUGUCUUGGUACACUGGACGGUUCCACGUUCUGUAAUAGGUGCCAUGGAACCAUGAGCAACACGAACUUUGUCCUUACCAGAGGUAGGUGUGUAGGAAGUAAACAAGUUUGAGGCUCUUGUUAUGUGGUUAAUUAGUAGCUCUAGUAUCAAUUAUCCAUGAUUUUGAAUGGGCUUAGCGGGAUUCCAUAUAUACCUUGGGUGAUGGCAUUAAAGCUAGAAUCAACUUUGGAGAAACCUUGGGACGAAGAUGAGCCUUCAAAGAGUUUGAGCUUGGAUUUGAAAUCCUCAAGAGCUUUCAUAUCUACCGCAGGUAGUUCCUUUGCAGAUGCAUUGUAAUUAGCUUGUCUUUUGUUUGAACCCCGAGCUCCCCCCUAGCUGACAUCUCCCUUUAUCCCACCAAGGUGGAUAACCAUGCAACUCAAAACAAUCACCCUUGGUGUGUCCUUUUCUGUUGCAAUGGUCACAAAGCAACUUGCUUUUAUCGACCUUACCAAAGGAAUUUGUAGCACGGCGUGGUUGUAUGGAUAAUGCAGCAUGAGCAUCUGCACGCUCCUGACCCUCCUCCUUCGGUUGUGCCAAACGAGUCUCCUCCUCAAUCAUGCUAGAAAUAAUAUCAUCAAGACUAGGCCACUCAGGCAUUGCAAAUAUGAAUUGACGACAAAGGUUUAUUUCCUGGUCUAGGCCAUCUAGAAAGAGCUUGCUCACAAACGACUCAAAUCACACAUGAUGAAUUGCCAAGUCAUCCUUGUGAACAGGUUCAAAAGGGUGAUGAUAAUGCAAGUCUCUGUAUAAUUUUUUUACUUCACCUGCAUACUCUGUUACAGAUCUUGAGCGCUGCUUCAAAUUAGUUAACUCAUGCAUGAUACGGGUGGCUUGCAUUUUAUUUGUUUUCCCUGCAAAUUGUUUCUUCAAAGAUGACCAGACCUCACAAACAGUGUCCAUGCCUUCCACUUGUUCUCUAAUUGUUGGUUCCAUACUUCCCAACAGCCAUACUAGUACUUUAUCAUUGAUUUGUUUCCUGCCCGCACUGCCUUUCUCCAAACUAUCUUCAUUGCCAACAAGUAAAUAAUCAUACUCAUUGGCACUCAAAAUCAAUUUGGCAUGGCGUGCCCAACUGAUGUAGUCACCAGGUCCUGAUAGUCUGACUGGAUUUUGCUCAAGUGUAUGCUUAACUGGCUCAGCAGCACCCUUUGAUUGCUGCUGGUGCUCAAGCAGUUUGCUAAAUAUUUCAUACAUCUUAUGAACACUAGAAUCCCCUGUUUUUUUUCUGUACUUGGAUCUCCCAUGGUUCAAUGAGCAAGAAUAUAUUCCAACACUAGUACUUGGUUCUUCUUCUCAAACACGUGCAGCACAAAGAGGAACCAACUAGUACAGCUCAACAAUGUGCCAAAGAGUACGGCAAUUACUUCAGAUUGCAACACUAGCAAAUAGUAUUAUUUAAUCCGGCCAGCUGACCUCCAAAGCAGCUCCAGGCAACACCGAUACUGCUUCUAAAGCAAUAAAAAAACACAGAUGCUCAAGGAGUCCGAGAGUCAAGUUGGGGACGAACUACACCUGCUCACGAUGCCGGAUGGCAGGAGAGAAAAAAUUAGCUUGUAGCGGGCGAGGGAGUCCAGACGCCCAGGCUCUAUAACUCAACUUGUAGCUGCAGGAGCCUCCCCGAUUGUACUGUACUUGAUUCAGACAGAAUCAAGGUCGCUUCCCAACUCCUACAGCAAAGCCAGCAGCAGAAGCACCUCCAACAAUAGGAGCGACACAGUACCGCACCGACGGCCAAACUCAAUAGGAAUCAUAGGAGAACCACACAGGAUUCGUCCUGCCCUGAUACCAUCUUUUUGUGAACUAGGGUUCAUGAAGGAGAGGAGACAUUGGGAAAAAUUCUGGGGUCUUCUACCAAUCCCCUUCUCACCUCUCUUCAUUUAUAUUUUUGUUCUUUUACGAUGUAGUCCUCAUGUCCUUACAUAAUUACAACUCACAUCAACAAUAAAACCACCAUUAUUCAAUUUUUUUUCAAAAACCCACCGCCAUUGUGGUGACAUUUUUCAAAAAACACUCCGCGAUGUCCCUCAGUAGGAAUAAAGUCUCCCACGUUCUACGAUGGUGCGUCUAGUGUCAUCGUAGGGCAUGUGGAGGUGUAUCUCCUUCGGAUCUCACGGCAUUCAGUUGGUGCUGGUUUUUCUGUGGACUGUUUGGGGCCAGUGUUCGUUCGUCUUCGCUUGGGUGUUUAUAGGUUUGAUCCUUCCAAUCUAUGAUUUUUUUCAUCGGCCUUAACACGACGAUUUUCAACUGUCUACUGCAACAAGCUUUGCCCAGCUUCAGCGUGGGAGGGGCAAUAAUGGCGGUGCCUUCAGCUCACUCUAGUGUUUUUAGUCGCCGCUAGGUGGUCAAUGGACAUGGUUGUAAUUUAUAUCACCUCUAGUGUUCUUUGUACUGCCAUGAUCGAAAAUGAAUAUAUUGAAAGUUUCUCCUGCAAAAAAAAAGUAGGCAAAAACAUGUCGAAACAGAAAAGCGGAUGGAACCAACAAGACUAUGAUAAUCCACCAUAAUGCCAAACAAAGCCUAGAACGCACGAAAACCUGCCGAACAAACAUACUUGGCAUGGUUCUCUCCUCUUGAGAAAUCGUACACACAAAAGUCUUGCCACGCAGAUGACUAUGAGACUGCCACACGGACUCCAAGCAGUUCACACAACCGGCACACAUCCGCAAGCUUUGCGUCUCACAUCCAAUUUCGUGCAGCAACUCAUCCAGCUCCAUCUCCGGAGAGGCCUGCGCCGGGGAUUACAAGGCCACUUCUUCCUACUAUCCAGAUCACGCUGGUCCGGUCCCUGACCGAGCCGGCGGCCGUCCGGACCGCACUGAGCAGCGCGCUGGUCCCUUUUCCAUGCACCGGGCCGGUGAGGCAAAAGCUCGGUAACCGAACGAUGGCAUGCGUGCGUUAUCGUUCAUGGUGUAUGCGUGCAGCAUGUAGAAGCUGGAGUACGUGUUGCUGCUGCGUCUCGACGGCAUCUCUUGUUCGACUCCGAGAUCACUGGCCAUGAACGAGAUCAACCAUCUCCGCCGAAUACAGAGCUAACAGAAAACGGGAAAUCAGGCCACGGCGGAGACGCGAACGCUGCCAUCCCAACGUUCGUCGACCGCUACCCUACAUCGUCGCCAUGAUCGUUUUAGUAUCGUGCCAUCCCACGAUCACUAAGACCAAGUCGCGGCUUAGCUUGUUUCACUAAUUGAGGAAAAUCCUAACUGACGAAUCUGCACUUUAACAGCUACUGCUGACGAAACUGAAUUUUUCUGAAACUUCGACAACAACUGGUGGUAACUGACAACAUGGUGAUCGGAGGGACGGCACGGGGCGUGCGUCCGUGUGCGCUAAGGUCGCCGUCGCGUCCGUGCGCUUGUUUCUGCCGUCAUCCUCGGUGUCCGCGGUGGUCGCGAGCGGGAGCGCGAGCAGAUUGUGUCAACUUUGAAAGCUUAGACGAGCCUACCAUGCAGACCCAUCAACCGGCUCAGCUCGACUUGUUUCCAACCCGAGGAGCAGCCUGUAGCUAGAUAGUGAGCGAUGACCUUUGUUUUUCCACAGGAAUGAUGAAAGGCGGUAACUACAUUUUUCCCAAUGCCUCUCAAUACAAUUACCGGACAUCUCACAUGGGAAAUAGUUCUUGAAACCAGACGCUACGGGGAAGAACAAAAUAGGGAUAUAGAUUAUACCAUGGUGGCCAGGGUGCCAAUUGUUGAUUGCAUUGCAAGAGAUGUUGUAUCUUGAUACGGGCAAGUAAUUGCCAUGUGAAGCCUAGCUGAAUGAUAUAGCCUGCAGGUUACACAAUUGAAUGUCAUGGCUUGUACAUUUCUCAACCACCGUACCAGGGAUAAAGAGAAACACAAACGUGAUGCACCACAAUGUGAGGACGCUUCGUUUGAAAUGUGCGACAAGCAGGGUGAGCCAUCCCAAAACUUGUACUCCAUCCGUUCGACAAGAUAAGAGUAUUUUUUAUACUAGUGUAGUGUUAAAAGCGCUUUUAUAUGGUGGGACGCAGAGAGUAUUAGAAUCGAGGAUGCUUACUUAGAUCCACUAUUGGCUCUUCCAUUAAACGUGAAAUAAAAUUUAUAGAAAUUGAAGAAAUGAGCACAAGACCAGAGCACACUUAUUGAGACUGAUAUCGACUUAUUACGAAGCCAUCGUUUCGCGUGAAUCCAGUCAAGAUCAAUUUCCAGAGCCUUUCAAAGCUUGAUAUAGAGGAUGUACCGAAAACGGCCGCGCAAAAGCUUGAGCACCAUCCUUGUUGGAUUUCACUCAAGAGGGGUCAUAUGAAAAACAACAUAUAUAUAUGAUCGAAACAAGUUAGGUAGAUUCAUAUGCCACGCGUCUUGACCAUCAGAUUUCUUGGUGUGAGUGGCGCGAGGUCACAUCACAUCAUCAAUCGUGUAGAUAGGGCGACAAUUUUUGCCAUGAAGGUGUCUUUGGGUUGCUAUAUAUACUAGUAAUUUGUACGUGCUUUGCACGUAGCUGAUUACGUAUAAGCAUGGUACUAAAUUAGUGUAAAAAACUAAAGCACACAUAUAUUAUGAUUAAUUUUUUUUAUAGAAGCUUCAAAUGGAGAUAUCCGAUAGGCAUCUGUGGAAUCAUUUUUGGGCUUCGCAAGGCCGGAUAACAACUAUUCCCCAAAAAACAUAGUACAAUGAUUUUCUUAAUAUGAAACAUUGGAUAUAAUCUUUGCCCUUUUAUAUAUAUAUAAAUUGUUUAGGAAGUCCUUCAAUUUAUUGGACUCAUACUAAAAACUUAUUUUUUUAGAAAAAUGAUGUGAAAAAAGAAGUACAAUUAAUAAUAAAUUUUCACCUUCGCAAGCUCAUGUCAGCUAAGAAAAUAAAAGGAGUCAAAACGUACUCUUUCCUCAUAGGUUAUUUGCACAUUCUCAUUCUAAUUAUCCUAGGUACCUUACUACUUGUUUCAAAUGAUAAGAAAAUGGAAAAGUUCACAAUGCAUACAACAUUGCAAUGCUAGGCUCGCAUGCUAGCCUCUCGUGAAGCGGUCGAUGCAUGCAUGUAGGCAGGUAGUACGAAUUAAAUAAUUUAGAGGAGCAAGUGUCCAGCCCAUAGUGGAAAGAUCCAGAACAUAGUCAGAUGAUGGGUCACACAGCGAAUUCUAGAAAUAGCAGACAUAAGUUUGGAGCAGCCACUGUUGAUGCGAAUCCCGCUGCUCCCAACCGUUAGAUUGAGAGCACCAAUGAUCAGGAUUGAUAUUCUAGAUCCAUUCAAAACUCGUACACUAUAUAGUGGUAUAGAUAUAUUUUGCAAGGCCUUGUUGAAUAAUGCAAUAAAGAUGGCUGUGUGCAUCGCUCGAUGCAGAGACCGGGGGUAGUCGUCCUUUUUGAGAAAAACUAUGCAACGCGUCUUUCUUUUUCAUUUCUUCGAAUUUACACUACAUUUUGGGACCCAUAUAUAAAACAUAUAUGUGAACCUAAACUCCGUUUAAUACUAGGCUAAGACGGUCUGAGCCUACACGAACAUUCAUGUAAUUACGUAAUCCGACUUUCUUGCAGUUGUUGGACUGUGUGUUGUGCUAUGAUUAUAAUCUGCGGUUAGAAAAGAAGCAUCAAAGUAGGCAACAACAAGUGAACCAAACACUUAAAUAGAGAAAAACAGAUGUAACAAACAAGAUUACGAGAAUCCACCAUAAUGGGCGAAUACAACUUUCAAACUACUGGUUCCCAAUGUUGUUCACGCGGCUCCGUCAUGUAGAGAAUGCAGAGGACGGUCAACAAUGUUGGCAAGAACAACGAGUGACCGAGGCGGAGUAGCUACGUGCGAGGGAAUGGCUUCCACUGGAGGAUUGACUAUGGUUGACGUAGUGGUGCUGGCUGGCCAAGGAGCAGAUGGACGGGUUGGGAGUGGGCUGUGGAGUGGAGAUGUCUGCCAGGGCUCUAGCGUUUCGUGCAUUGCGUGCUGGGUUCAGGAGCAGGAGAAGAGCACAUACACGGGUACAGUGACGAGCAACGGGAGUUAUUGGGCUCGCGUGCAGCUCUCGCCGAACUCAAGCUUUGACAUGGCCGAGUUCAAGCUUAGUUUUGUGAGGUUUGACGAGCCUGGACGAGGCAAGUCAUGACCCGGCUCGACAUGGCUUGUUUCCACCCCUAGCAACAGCCUUAAGCUAGAGAGACAUCAUUUAGCUUUCUCGUUUUACACGGUGGAUGUGUGCUGGAUGCUAAUUUUUCCCAAUACCUCACAAUCCGAUUACCAUUUAGGCAUUUCCCCCCCGUGGAUAAUAUAUCUUUGAUUCCAUAUACCACAGAAGAACAACAAAGGGGGAUGUAGAUCAUAUUGUGGUGGCCAGCAUGCUAAUUGUUUCAUGCAUUGCAAAUGGAAUAGAUGAUGUACCUUGGGAAAUAUAUAGAGUUGGGCAUGUAAUGGCCAUGUGCUAUAGCUAAAAAUUAUGUAUCCUGCAGGUACACGCCAUGAAUGUCCUGAUUUGUAGAGCUCUCAACUACCUUCAGCCAAUAAUGAUAGAACCAGUUUGUUUAUGAGCAUCGGGAUGCCCUCGUAAAGAAAAAACCUCUUGAGAUGCAAUGCAACACACACCAAGUGCUCAGACUCGUCCAGUCCCACUCCGAGGAGAUGGUCGCUGAUCUAGCACUAGAGGCGAGCGGUGGUCCUGGACCGGUUGAUGGCCCAGGCCUCCACGAGCAUGAGGUCCAGUAGGACCCAGGCUAGCACGGCUUCAGACCUCGUGAAUGACGCCCGAUGUUGUGCACUGCCUUGGAGGCCAUCACGGAUAAUGUCAUCAUUAUUGAGGAUGAGCCAUUGACACCGAGGUAGUAGGUGAGGCAGCCACAUGCCUUGGCGAUCUCCGGGAAGGGCUGAUAACUCAUAAGUGCAGAGGAUCAAUUUUAGCAUUUCCAAUAAGUAAGAUUGUCGAACCCAACAAGGAGGUAAAGGUAAGACUAAUAUUCUCUCAAGUUCUAUCAACCUUGAUCCUGAUGCUACUGGAUACGCUGAAAGAGCAAACAAAGCCAAGAAGCUAGUCAAGAUCAGUGCUCGGAGCAUUGCAAAGCUGGACAGAAACUAGGUGAUGAAAGUUGCAGCAAAAGCUCGGGCAUCAUCCUCUGUUCUCCGACCAAUAGAUGCCCGCCAUGGCCAUGAAGCUGAUAUUAGCUCCAGUGGCAAUGACAGUGUCAGGAGUAGUAUGAGUGUUGAUUACAGUGCUACAAAGGAAUCGGGGAGUGAGAUGACGUUGUCUCCUCUAUAGAACUCGUAUCCAUAGAGUCUUGCAAGCCAGGAUGACUAUGAGACUGGCACACAGACUGCAAGCAGUUUAAGCAGCCCGGUACACAUCCACAAGCUUGCCCCUCAUGCUCAAUUUCGUGCAGCACCUCAUCCAGCUCCACCUCCUGAAAGGCCUGCGCUAGGGAUUACAAGGCCACAUGUUCCUGCCACACAUAUAAGUAACAACCCAAUGUUCCAGUCAGCCACAUCAUAUGUCAGGGAGAACCGAAGAGCCUCUGUGGUCUAGGAUCAAGAGGCUGGUCGGUACAUGUCAGUGCCCAUGCAAACAACAAGAACAGGACCCAGUGUUGAGCUGCCUGCAAGAAACCGAAGUUUCUUGGCGAAUCCAAGUGGUGAACCAGGCAACCAUGGGAGAAAUCUUGCACCUGCCAACACAACUUCAUCAGCGAUUCCUUCGGGGCAGCCAUCCGAGAGGUUGACGUACAUAGGCCAAUCAAUAUUCUUUGGUGGGCCAAUCCUGAGCACCACUGGCAUAAAUGCAGAAAGGAAUGAGGCGGGCACAAGAGUGCGUACUGAGACAAGCAGAGAUCCCAACCUCCACCAGCGUGACAUCCGUGGCGAGAAGGCUCGUACAGGUUCCUUCCCAUUGUUUGAGCCUAGGAAUUUCUAGAAGAACCUGCUUUGCUGGCAAGUGACCUUGACCGGCUGUUUUACUCCUCUCUACUAUGUCGUCUGCUCAAGUGCCACCACCAUGAUGUCAGGGAACUGCUGAAGUAGUUGACAUGGGGCUUCAACGAUACAUAGAUAACGAUGCUUUUUAGAGCUUUAUUAUAGUGAGUGAGGAUGGCGCUAACUUUGUUUGAUGUUUUACAAACUGACUGAUAGUCGCAGUUUUAUUUUGCGUGCAUUAGGAAUUGAGAUGUUUUACAAACUGACUGAUAGUCGCAGUUUUAUUUUGCGUGCAUUAGGAGUUGAGAUGUUUGAUGCGCUUGGCAUGUAGUAGAAGAGCUGAUUUAACUUGUCCUUGAUGUGUAGAACCUUGUGAUUUGCCGCCGACUUUGUUCAUAUUACGGACUUCGGAGUGUUCAUUGCAAGUCUCUGUUCUGUUACUGCUGUAAUAGUAGCCCACGUGUGAAGGCAUUUUCUCCAACUGUCUUGGCGUUUGACUGCUUUAUUUUCAUGUUAAGAGAAUGGAAUUUAACUCGGAUGAUAU